CACAACUCAAACAUUACAGCAAAAGCAUAAGAACUAGAAACCCACCACAAUGAAGAUCAUUUUCUUCUUUGCUCUCCUUGCUAUUGCUGCAUGCAGCGCCUCUACGCAGUUUGAUGCUGUUACUCAUGUUUACAGGCAAUAUCAGCUGCAGCCGCAUCUCAUGCUGCAGCAACAGAUGCUUAGCCCAUGCGGUGAGUUCGUAAGGCAGCAGUGCAGCACAGUGGAAAUCCCCUUCUUCCAAUCACCCGUGUUUCAGCUGAGAAACUGCCAAGUCAUGCAGCAGCAGUGCUGCCAACAGCUCAGGAUGAUCGCGCAACAGUCUCACUGCCAGGCCGUUAGCAGUGUUCAGGUGAUUGUGCAGCAGCUACAGCUACAACAGUUUACUGGCAUCAACUUCGAUCAGACUCAAGCUCUAGCCCAAGCUAUGUUGGCCCUAAACUUGCCGUUAAUAUGCAGUAUCUACCCAAGCUACAACACUGCUCCCUGUAGCAUUCGCACGGUCGGUGGUAUCUGGUACUGAAUUGUAGCAGUAUAGUAGUACAGGAGAGAGUAAUAAAGUCAUACAUCAUCGUGUGUGACAAGUUGAAACAUCGAGGCGAUACAAAUCUGAAUGAAAAUGUCAUGCAAGUUUAAACAUAAUGCCUCUGUAAGGAUAAAUCCUAGUACAUUGUUGAAAUUAAUUAUCAUCACCGUCUACUAUGGUUGCAUUUACAACUUUACGAUGUGUGCCUACAUUCAGUUCUAAGCUACUAUGGCUACUCGACGUGAACGGAGUGUGUUAAGCAGGUCAAUCUUUUCAUUUCGAUCAGAACAAAGUCAAAACGCAUUUGGCAAAUAGUAUAUACCCUAUAACGUAAUCCUACACCAUAUAAAACACGCCCAACCUAUAGCGGUUAUAAAUCCACUAUUCAAAAUGUAAGUAUCGAUGGGACCAUUUGCCAUAUCAUUGUUAAUUCAAUCUUACCUUGUCACCGGAGCAAGACGCUCCGCGUAACAUGAAGUUAAAAUUUUCAUAUUUGAAGGCCUGGUCGCGGAAAUAUCAAUUUAGAAGUUAAAAACAUUAAGCAUUGCUGCCUCAAUAAAAUUCAUAUAUGCGUAAUAGUCCACGUUAAUUCCCAUGCAUAUCGGUUUCAUUUGUUUUCACCCAAAGUCACAAAAUAUAGCUGCUGCUCUAUCCUGAGAGUGAGUAGGUAGGCAUUUUGUUCUUUACUGUUAUCGUUGAUCACCGCCGUGAUACAAUCGGUCAAUGGUUUGAUGCUAGCAAGGGGCUAUUUUCAUUUAUGUUCUGCCUCCUAAAUGUUCUUUCAUUCUUACACCUAGUACCGUGAGAAAAAUCUAGCUAGUUCUAUAGGCAAAUCGUUGUCAAUACGUGCUAGCUGAACUGUUAUGAGAAACAAUGUCUCUUAAGUCACGAUUUCGUUUCCUUUCGUGAUUUUUUCUUUCUAACGUGUUUUUUAACUCCUCGGCAAAAUAAACGCAAGCUAAUCUUUCAAAUUUUUCUCCAAAGUGGUCAUAAAAUCGAUGACGUUAUUAAAGGCUAUCAUAAGAUUUUUGUCACGGAAUGCCUAACCGUUGUAGUAUUAGACAUGUCGUUGUAAAGGCACUUUACUACAUAUCUCAUUUGAACAUAAGCAGUUAUUGAUAACUAAUAUAUUUGUCAUAACUCACUUUACACAUACAAAUAUAUUUCUACAUAUAUCAUUAAAGUUCCACGCGCCCUUGACAUGUAAAGUGCAUUUGUAAAACAAUAGCUUACAAUACAUAACAAACUUAGUUUGAAAAGGACAGCAAUCCAUGUCACACUAAAAUAUAAAGUGAGUGAGGAGUCAUAACAUUAUCUAUCUUGCUAACCAUCAAGUAUCUGUGAUGGGCAAUAAAGUUACUUUGAAGAUGGUCUACAAGGACAUCUGUGGAGGCACAUCAUGUAACAUCCAAACGACAUGACUCACUCUGAUCCUAAUAGAAUAUCCAACCAAAACAAACACUCUAAAGCAACCGAUAAGGAAUUCAAAGAAAACCCAUCCAUCGCAUCUAUAAAUAGACAAGCACAAUGUAAACCCCCUUCAUUCUUCUCACAACUCAAACAUUACAGCAAAAGCAUAAGAACUAGAAACCCACCACAAUGAAGAUCAUUUUCUUCUUUGCUCUCCUUGCUAUUGCUGCAUGCAGUGCCUCUGCGCAGUUUGAUGCUGUUACUCAAGUUUACAGGCAAUAUCAGCUGCAGCCGCAUCUCAUGCUGCAGCAACAGAUGCUUAGCCCAUGCGGUGAGUUCGUAAGGCAGCAGUGCAGCACAGUGGCAACCCCCUUCUUCCAAUCACCCGUGUUUCAACUGAGAAACUGCCAAGUCAUGCAGCAGCAGUGCUGCCAACAGCUCAGGAUGAUCGCACAACAGUCUCACUGCCAGGCCAUUAGCAGUGUUCAGGCUAUUGUGCAGCAGCUACGGCUACAACAGUUUGCUAGCGUCUACUUCGAUCAGAGUCAAGCUCAAGCCCAAGCUAUGUUGGCCCUAAACAUGCCGUCAAUAUGCGGUAUCUACCCAAGCUACAACACUGCUCCCUGUAGCAUUCCCACCGUCGGUGGUAUCUGGUAUUGAAUUGUAGCAGUAUAGUAGUACAGGAGAGAAAAAUAAAGUCAUGCAUCAUCGUGUGUGACAAGUUGAAACAUCGGGGUGAUACAAAUCUGAAUAAAAAUGUCAUGCAAGUUUAAACAUAAUGCCUCUGUAAGGAUAAAUCCUAGUACAUUGUUGAAAUUAAUUAUCGUCACCGUCUACUAUGGUUGCAUUUACAACUUUACGAUGUGUGCCUACAUUCGGUUCUAAGCUACUAUGGCUACUCGACGUGAACGGAGUGUGUUCAGCAGGUCAAUCUUUUCAUUUCGAUCAGAACAAAGUCAAAACGCUUGUGGCAAACAGUAUAUACCCUAUAAUGUAAUCCUACACCAUAUAAAACAUGCCCAACCUAUAGCUGUGUGGAGAUUAUGGAUACCCCAUGCCUACAAGGCAUUUAUAGUCCGACUGGAUAUGGGGUGCCAUGUCUAGAUAGAAUAUCUUUAGAAGGACUCGGGUUAAAUUCUAAACUUGUAUGUCAAGGAUACAUCCGAGUUCCUAGUCGGUUACGAUUGUAUUUUAUCUGUAACUACAUAUUCCGUUAGGGAUAUGGACUGUAUUUUGUAAUACGGACCCCUUCCCCUAUAUAAGGAGAGGUACGGGUGCCUCUAGGGGCACGAUUUUUUCCCAGAUCAUAUGAUCAAUAAUAUACUUGGUGGAUCAAUCCCCGGACAGGAGUAGGGUAUUACUUCUUGAUUAAGAAGGCCUGAACCUGUAUAAAAUUCCUUGUCUUUAAACCCAUCCACUUUUCCAGCCUGAUAGCCACCCCCUUUUAGUAUUGUCGAAAUCUUGUUUCAACAGUUGGCACGCCAGGUAUGGGAAGCGUCAAGUUCUUCGCCGACUAGUGCGAUGGGUUUCGUUUCCGGCAUCGACGACUUUGUCUUCCCUCCCGGGCAGGCGUUCCAAUUCGGCAGCCUCGACUUCAUCACCAACGACUUCGGCAAGAUUUCUCUCCUCGACUCGGAUUCAAACCAGUCGGGAAGAGGCCAGAUCUCCACCUAGUUCGGUAUCCCGAACUCGGCCGAGGUCUACCCCAAGAUCAUCUCCACCGAGUUGGCUUCAAACCACUCGGACGGGAUCCAAUCUACUUCAACACGACCCGAUCAAGACGAUGGGGCCUAUCCGCCAAUCCUGAUGAAACUCCCGAUGAUUUGGCUGCUGUAUUCACCACAAGGGCGUCUUCUCCCCGUAGGCCUAGGUGGGAUCCGGCUUUAGCCCCGGCCCGGCCUAGCUCCAGGGAAGUCGGUGUCAUACUCCAGCCUCUCGGCACGGUUUCGACGAACAACUGGAUGGCUACCUCAGCUCCCCCGGCAUCGACUCGCGACCAUCGGAGAUCGUGGAGUACGACGACUUCGGCUACCGCUACGACUACGCAACCUCGACGACUUCGACGAAGGCUUUGAAGACAACUACACACCCCUCUACUUCGGCAUCUUCAUGGCUGACAAUGAGACGGAAGAAGAGCGUAAAGCCCGAGAAGCAGAAGAACUACGUGUACAACAGGAAGCCGAACGACGCCGACUGGAAGAGGAGCGCCAAGCAUAAGAGCGAGAACGGCUACAAUGUGAGCCACAGGAACGCGAACGGGCUGCAAAAGAGGCUGAGGACUGGCGACAACGUGCCCUGGAUGCCGGGCGACAAGCAUAGGAACUUAUUGGGCAACAAGACGUCGAGGGGACAGCGGUUUUCCGCCCCCCCAACAGAACGCGGUUGCAGCGAUCACCCUCCUCGACAUCCUCCUCAAGGAAGACGCGCUCAAUCAAGCCAAUCACGUCGUCAACAUCUUGAACCAGACCAAGACCAUGAUCGCCGCCUUGGUCCCGAUUAACUCCGCAAGCGUCCACACGCCGACUGGCAGCCGAGUUCCCCAUCUUCGAUCUCAAGACUAUCACCAACCAAGCCUCAGCGUCGUCGGCGCGGGAUCUACUCGCAGGAGUAGGGGUCACGACGAGCGAUCUAUCCACUCGCCACCCAAACGACACAGGGAGCAUCGAGUUGAAUGACCACACUCCCCACAUCGCAGGCGCCCCGUCGAUCUUCGCGAUACUAUCAACCAGCGCCGCGCGGCAAGAGGCUACGCUCCCCACCAUUCUCCAGAUCGCUACGACGACGACGUGGAUGGAGUUGCUGCCUUCACAAGCGACCUGCGUCGAGUGGAUUGGCCAGCCGGCUUCAAGCCGAUUGGAAUCGAGAAGUAUGACGGCACCACUAACCCGGAGUCUUGGCUCACCGUCUACGGUCUCGCAAUUGGCGAAUUAUUUGCCUGUGGCCCUAGCGGAUUCUGCCCGGUCCUGGCUUCACGGGUUACCCUGUGGCACAAUUGGAUCAUGGGCGGAACUUCGCGACCACUUCAUCGCCAACUUCCAGGGUACCUUUGAACGCCCUGGUACACAGUUUGAUCUCUACAACGUCAUUCAGAAGUCUAGAGAAUCCCUUCGAGAUUACAUCCGACGCUUUUCCGAGCAACGCAACAAGAUCUCCGACAUCACCGACGACGUCAUCAUCGCCGCCUUCACCAAGGGCGUUCGCCACACAGACCUAGUCGGCAAGUUCGGGCGCAAGCCUCCCAGGACGGUCAAGCAGAUGUUCGAAAAAGCCAAUGAGUAUGCCAAAGCCGAAGAUGCCAUUACCACGUCCAAGCAGUCGGGCACCACUUGGAAGCCGAAGAAAGAUACACCGACUACAGGGGGGAGUGGAAGUACCAAUCACAAGGAUCGCAAGCGUAAGCCCGAGGAACUUGUGGCAACUACUACACCAUCCUCCCGACAACGUUCGCACGUCAACACCUUUGACAAGAUUAUGAACUCCCAAUGUCCGCAUCAUCCCAAUUCCAAUCACGCGGCCAAAGAUUGCUUCGUCUACAAACAGUUUGCAGAACAAUACGCCAAGAACGCACAUAAAGCCUCCGACGGAGAUCAAAGCACGUCAAAGAAGAAGGAUGGUGAAGAUGAUGCACUGACUGGUUUCCAAGACCAUCGCAAGGAGCUCAACCACAUCUUUGGUUGACCCCUGGCUUAUGAAUCCAAGAGAAAGCAAAAGCUGACCGAACGGAGAUCAACGCUGCUCAACCUGACACGCCCCAAUAUCUUCGGUGGUCAGAGACAACGAUUAAGUUUGACCGCUCGGAUCAUCCAGACCGAGUGGUCCACCCGGGACGGUACCCCCUGGUACUAGACCCGGUGGUUCACAACGUCAAGCUUCGCAGAUCCCUCAUCAAUGGUGGCAGUGCACUCAACCUCCUUUUCGCCAAGACCCUGGACGACAUGCAGAUCCCUCGCACGGAAUUAAAGCCGAGUAAUGCGCCCUUUCACAGAGUCAUCCCGGGGCUAUUUGUUACACCACUCGGCCACACUCUUCCUAUUACUUUCAGCACUCGGGAGAAUUUCCGUACAGAGAACAUCAUGUCAUACUCGGACGCCCGGCGUUAGCCAAGUUCAUGGCUGUCCCGCACUAUACCUACAUGAUGAUGAAGAUGCCUGGUCCUCGAGGAGACAUAUCCCUGCGGAGUGACAUCAAGCAAGCCGUCACAUGCGACAAGGAAAGCUGUGAGAUGGCCCAGACCCGCGAGAUCACGCUCGCCCGAGAAGAAAUCCGACUGGCUACGUCCACAGCAAGCGAAGGAGAAGUGCCCGCAACCAAGAUGCCAAAGAGCGGAGAAGGCGACGCCAAGACCAAGAAGAUUCCCCUAGAUUCCUCUGAUCCUACUAAGACUGCUGUAAUAGGCGCUGAGUUAGAUUGUAAAUAGGAAAGCGCGCUCAUCAUCUUUCUUCAAAAUAAUAAAGAUUUAUUUGCGUGGAAACUAUCUGAUAUGCCUGGUAUUCCUAGAGUGGUGAUUGAGCACUCUUUACUUGUUAAGGAAGACGCUAAACCAAUCAAGCAACGACUCCGCCGUUUUGCACAGGAUAGGAAGGAUGCGAUCAAGGAGGAAUUGACCAAGCUGUUAGCAGCAGGCUUCAUCAAGGAAGUCCUUCAUCCCGACUGGCUGGCCAACCCAGUCCUAGUUCGGAAGAAGACGGGACAAUGGCGCAUGUGUGUUGAUUACACCGACCUCAACAAGUCUUGCCCCAAAGAUCCCUUUGCGUUACCUCGCAUUGACCAGGUAGUUGACUCAACGGCCGGCUGCGAGCUACUCAGUGGAUUGGUACUCAGGAUAUCAUCAGAUCCGACUGCUUAAAGACUUCGUUCAUCACGCCCUUCGGGGCCUACUACUACAUCACCAUGCCGUUUGGAUUAAAGAACGCAGGAGCAACUUAUCAACGCAUGAUCCAAAGAUGUUUUUCAACUCAAAUCGACCGCAACGUUGAAGCUUAUGUGGAUGAUCUAGUCGUCAAGACCAAGCAGAAGGAUGAUUUGAUUACGGAUCUAGAAGAGACCUUUGCAAGCAUCCGCGCUUUCAGGAUGAAACUAAACCCUCAAAAGUGCAUCUUCGGAGUACCGUCAGGGAAGCUGCUUGGAUUUAUGGUGUCCCGUAGAGGCAUACAAGCCAACCCGGAGAAAAUCAAUGCCAUCCUCAACAUGAAACCGCCGAGCUCCUAGAAAGAUGUUCAAAAGCUGACCGGUUGCAUGGCGGCGCUCAACCGGUUUGUUUCACGACUCGGCGAGCCGGGGAUGCCCUUUUUCAAGCUGUUGAAGAAAACAGACAAUUUCUAGUGGGGACCCGAAGCACAAAAAGCCUUUGAAGACUUCAAAAAACUUCUCACUACUCCACCAGUCUUAGCUUCACCACAUCCGCAAGAGCCGCUGUUGUUAUACGUGUCGGCAACUUCCCAGGUUGUAAGCACAGUCCUAGUUGUUGAGCGUGAAGAAGAAGGCCAUGUUCAAAAAGUCCAACGACCAAUCUACUUCGUUAGCAAGGUUUUGGCUGACUCCAAGACAAGAUAUCCUCAGGUUCAAAAGCUGUUAUAUGGUGUUUUAAUGACCGUCAGCAAAUUACCUCACUACUUCCAAGGUCACUCGGUCACGGUGGUCACAUCGUUUCCACUCGGGGAUAUACUUCAUAAUCGUGAAGCAAAUGGGCGGAUAGCAAAGUGGGCCUUAGAAUUGAUGUCCCUGGAUAUAUCCUUCAUGCCGCGAACUUCGAUCAAGUCCCAAGCUUUAGCCGACUUCGUCACUGAGUGGACUGAGUGCCAAGAAGACAUGUGUCAUGCCCAGAAAUUCACGAACCAGAAUUUCGAAGCUGAAUGUGCAUUAAAUCCCUGUCUAGGACCAGCCAGGGUACACAAACGACAAUUUUUGACAUACAGAUCCACGUCUUACAAAAAUGGAGAUGAUUACAAAUGCAGCAGAAAAGAAAAACGAGCUAGACUUGGAAACUUGACUUCUGCAGCGGGGUGACUCCACUCCACAGGUAAUCCUUGACGACAGCGACGAAAUCAACUUCGGUAAGACACUUCCCACUAGGAAGAUCUUCAGCUCUGGUGUGGGGGAAAAGAGAGCAAGACUGAGUACUACCAACUGUAUUCAGCAAGUCAUACCGGAAGAGGAGGUAUGAUGCAGGAUAUAACCGAAGGAGGCUAAAGGCUCUUUGCACAAAGCAGGCAUUUAAAAACAGUAGUUGAAAGCAGUAAAACAGUUGUAGUAAUUAAUCAAUAUUAACCAAACAUUGUCCAACGCUACACCACAUUGCAAUAGGCCCAACCAACCACCUGAACUACACCAGUUCAUUAAGCUAAACUAGGGGUGAGACUAAUCACGGUAAAUCUGGUUGAUCGCCCAUAACCGCGGGCACGGCUAUUCGAAUAGUUUUACUCUGGCAGAGGUGUACAACUGUACCCACAAGACACGAUUCCACACAUGUCGCCAUGCCCCGAAGUAUCACCAUGACACUGCAAAGGGGGAAAUCGUGACAAGACCCUCCUCAUAACCCUUCCCUAACCAUCCACACCAUGCUAAGGUUUCACCCCCACCCCUCAAAAGGUAGUGGGCGGUCCCCUCUUGUGCCGCGGUGAAUCCGGCAGCUAGACAACCGGACACCCCGGCCGACCCAACUCCAUCACGCCCACCCUCGCCACCGGUGCCUAGGAAAGGGUUGAGCUAUACCUCAGAUCAAGCAGUUACCCACUCCCGCUUGUGGUAAGCACGGUAAGUCUCCCAGUGUUUCCCGUGAACCGGUCCUUAAUUGCCAUGGGUGCGACCAGCAAAACCAUGCACGCACAACCCACCAUUCAGUGUAUUUUAAAUAACUAACACCAUUGCGGUGGCACCAACCAGAACUAUGCUCAUAGUCAAAAUUGAACUAUGCUCAUGUAAUAAUGUGAUCCCCUUUUGUGUACUAGUUGAACUAAGCAUGGCUAAGCAUUUCCUAAACCAACAUCUAAUCAUUUUGAUACCCCAGUUAUCAAUGGCAUAUGGUAAACGAUAUAUGGCUGAGUAAUAGGACCCAUCCCACAUGACAUUGUAAAAGAGUGCAACAAUUAAUAGAAAUGCAAGGUAUUUGUAAAUUGGGUACAAUAUGAUCAAAUGUAAAGCAUGACUUGCCUGUCUCUCGCACUGAUGAGACCUCAGCAACGUCUUCGAGAAACCGCGGAUCGACGAAACGGCCGAAAUCUACGCGACAAACAAAGCACACAAGCAAAACAUGCUAUAAGACUACUGAAACAGGAAACAAAAUCAUUUUAAUGGAUUCUUUGCAUUUUUAUGAAUUUACUGAGACUUGAAUGGACUUAAACGAAGCUCGGAUGAAUUACAUAUGAAUUUUAGAAGAUAAACUGUGUUUUUACUAAUAAAGAAAAAGUCCUUAAUCAAUUUAUUGCGCUGUAAAUCCCAGGGCUGACGUCAUCCAAGGGGGGAGGGGCGGCUGCGCCGACAGGAGGGCUCCGCUUGUCAGCGCACAAGGGCAGGGAGAGGGGGCUCGGGCAAGUGGGCUCCACUGGCAGCGGCACAAGGUGGCCGGUCUACCGUGGACCGGGACCACGCAGGUGGUCCACCGCCGGUCCACGGGACUGACACCGGAUCGGCCCGAGACCGAUCGGACGGCGCGGGCGGCGGCUAGGCACGGCUCGGCUCGGCACAAAGCCGACCGACCGGCCAUGGCGAGCGGCGGCGGCGUGCGCGGCUGCCGACGGCGACGACCGGCGAAGGGAGGCGGCGGCGGACGACGCGAAAGGCGGCGGCGGACGGCUGGAGCGGCGACACGGCCAAAGGCGGCGGCACAGCCAAAGGCGGCGGCGCACGCGGGAAGGGGAGAAAAGGGAGGGGGAGGGAGUCGUCACCGGAGGGGCGGCGACCGGAGUGGGAGGGGAUGAGCGGCGGCAGCGCUUCGGAAAACAGCGGACGGGAGCAGCGCGACCUGGGAAAAGGCGGUGAAGGGGUGAGGGAGAAGAGAAGAGCCGCGGCACGGCGAGAAGAAAUGGCCGGAGAUGGAAACAAUGGCGAGCUCACCGGCGGCGCGAAGGAAUCGGAGCUCCGGCGGUGAUUCGCGGCAACGAAGCGGCGGCAGAGGUGCGGGUGGGCUCGGUGAGCGCGACGGCGGCGACUGCACGGCGCGGCGGCGGCUCUAGCAGCAGCGGCGCGCGGCCGGAGAUAGGCAGCGGCAGCGGCUAGGCGCGGCAGCGAUAGGGGCACGGGAGAGGGCGGCAAAUGGGGGAAACGAUAGAGGGAGCUCGGGGGAGUGAUUUAAAGGUGCGGGAGGGGGCGGACGGGGCCGGGAAGGUGGCCGAUUUGGCCGGCGACAUGGGGGAGUGGGGAGGAAGAGAGAGAGGGGGAUUCAAAUUGAACCCUGCCCACUCUCGGGCGCGCGUGGGGGCGGGAGAAGCGGGGGAGGGCCGGCGACGUGAGCGCGAGGUGUGGGCGCGGAGUGGAGGCGCGACGUGGAGCGGAGAAGGCGGGAAACGGCGGCGGCGUGGCGGUUUCGGCGGCAGCGGCGGUUGGAGCUCCGGCUCCAACGGCCGGAGGUAGGAGACGACCGAUAGGUGGGGCCCACCUGUCGGCGUCCCGAGAGAGGAGGGAGGGGCGGCUUGGGCCGGCCCACAAGGAGAAGGGGCUGCGGGAGAGGGAUAGGCCGACGGCCCAAUAAAGAAAAAGGAGGGAAAAGAAAAGAAAAAAGAGAAAAAGGAUUUUCCUGGGACUAAAAAUAUUGCACUUGCUCAAUUUUAAUUGGUUAAAAUUAUUUCCAAGGCUCUGAAAAUUUCCACUAAAAAUCAUGUUAAUGUAUUGGAGCAUGGGGAACUCAAGAAAAAUUCCACCACGCCGAAUUCGAUUAUUAAAUGCAUUUAUUAAUUAGGGAUUUAGCUCUAGGUUAAUUAAGAUAAUUUCUUCGGGCAAUUUAUUUAACCAAUUUUUUUAAAGCAAGAAAAGGGGGGGAAACUUCAGGGUGUGACAAACCUACCCCCCCUUAAACGGAAUCUCGACCCCGAGAUUCGGAAGAAUUGGUGAAGAGGUGCGGAUGGGCGGUCUUUAACUCAUUUUCUCUUUCCUAGGUGGCCUCUUCUUCUGAGUGAUGACUCCACUGAACCUUGCAGAAUCUGAUUACUUUGUUUCUGGUCCUUCUCUCGCUAGUUUCGAGGAUACGAGUCGGCUUCUCCACAUACGUCAAGUCUUUUUGGAUUUCGAUUUGAUCCGGACUUGCCUGUUCCUCAGGAACUCUCAAACAUUUCUUCAACUGAGAGACGUGGAACACAUUGUGGAUGCCAAGCAUGUUGGAGGGAAGCUCAAGCUGGUAAGCAACUUCACCUCUACGUUCCAAGAUCCUGUAUGGUCCCACAAAGCGUGGUGCCAACUUUCCUUUGGUUUGGAAGUGAUGUACUCCCCUGAGCGGAGUGACACGGAGAUACACAUAAUCCUCUGUUUCGAAAAUGAGCUCUCUUCGGCGGUUGUCUACAUAGCUUUUUUGUCGACAUUGUGCGAUUCUCAAUCUUUCCCUGACAGCUCUGACUUUCUCUUCUGCCUCAUUUAAAACUUAUGUACCAAACAACUGGCGUUCCCCUGUCUGAUCCCAGAAGAGCAGAGUACGACACCUCCAUCCAUACAGUGCUUCAAACGGUGCCAUCUGCAGACUAGCUUGGUAACUGUUAUUGUAAGAGAAUUCAGCAUACGGCAAGCUUUUGUCCCAUGCUCCACCAAAGUCAAGCGUACAGGCUCUCAACAUAUCCUCUAGUAUUUGAUUGUCACACCCUAAAAAUUCAAAAUAUAUAAAUUGUUGUUUAAUUAGAAUUUUUAGAAAUGAUUUUAAAAAAAGCCUAGAAGAGAAGAUCUAAUUUUAAUUAAUAAAUUCCAAUAUAAAAUGGGGCCAGAUAAAAUUUCAUUAAAUACUUUGCUUAAUUCUAUAAUUCCUAGAUUUUUCUGGGAUUUAUUUGAGCUAAGGAAGUAUUUUUAAUAAAUGGAAUUGUAUUUCAUGAAUAAUUUAAAUUGAAAAAGGUUUUUAAAAGUCUCUUUUGUCUUUGGGCCGAAAGUCAGCCCAAAAACCCUCUCUCUCUCUCCCCGGCCCAAGUCGGCCCAGUUCGCAGCCGCAGCCGCCCGCGCGAGUUCGCUGCCGCUGACAGGUGGGGCCCGCCUGUCGGAGUCGUCGUCUUCCUCGCGUCGGCCGCCGCCCGAAACCCUAGCGCCGCGCCGCCGUCGUCUCCUUCCAAAUUCGGUCGCGUCUUUCCCGAUCCGGUGAAAUCGAUAGAAGGGAAAUGAUCUUCGGGAUCUCCUCUACCUUUUCUCUUUUGGAAUCAUCCUCUAAAUCGCUUUGGAAAUUCGUGGAUUCGAGGUCGAAUCGGAUCGGUCUCUUUCCUCCGAACCCCGACCUUUCCUUCUCUUCGCCGGCAGCCGUGGGCCUUCGCCGCCGCUCUCCAACCCCUUUAAAAGGAUCCCCGGUGUCGCCGCUACCCGUCGCCACCCUCGCCUUCGUCUCUCGUCGUCCGUAGCGCCCUAGCGCCGUGUAACCUCGAGCCGCCGUCGCCGCCGUCGCUUCAGCCGUGCGCCGCCGCCGUUCCGGUCGUCGUCGUCGCUCGGGAAGAUCGCCAUUGUGGUCGCCAAGUCGCCGCCGUCCUCGUCCGCCCCUUCGCCGUCGCGGUAGACCGCCGGAGCAUCGCCGUCGUCGUCAAGCCGAAGGACUCCGCCGCCUUUUCCUCAACGCCGCCGCCGUCCGUUCAUCCUCCGCCGUUGCUUUGGUCACCGGUGAGUUCGCCGCGAUGCCCGCAUCGUCCUGGUGCCCUCCGUUCGCGUCGUCGUGCCGUCGUUCGCCGGCGAGCAUGCGCGCCCGAGCCGCCCGAGUCGCCGCCGGUGAUGACGUCAUCGCCGACGUCAUCGUGGCCGUCUGCCGUGAGCCGCCGUAGAUCCGCUCGAUCUCGGCCGUCCGUUUUGGAUGGAUCAAUCUCGGCCGUCCGUUCCCGUGAACCGCUGCCGUGCGCCCGGUCCACCGCAAACCCUAGCCGCUGACGCAAUAAUUCCCUUUUUCCUUUUCAAAAAUAAUUCAUUAUUGCGUCAUAAUUCAAUUAAAAUCUAUAUAAGUGUUUUAAUCCGAUUAAAUCUUCAAAAAUUCAUAUGUCGUAUACUCACCUUGCAAUCAUUCAUCAGAGGAAGAGUUCUACAAUGAUGCUGAUGGUGUGGAGGAUUAGGUGUAGCCCUAGUCAAGCUGCCUGUGGAGUGGAGUCGUCUGCGCCGUUUAUCUUAUUUUCCGCUGCUUAGAUCUUUAUUGAUUGAGAGGAACUAUCUACCUCUGUAAUGACAUUUUAUUCGCUUAUUAAUUAGAGUAAUAAUGGUACUCUAUUAUCAAUUUGUUAUUGUGUGCCUCGGCUGAUUCCUGGACGAGGGUUUACACACAUGUAAGCGUUUGGAAUUUUGGAUAGAAAUUCCGGGCGUGACAUUGAUUGACUCGCUCGGUCUAGCCAUCUGUUUGUGGAUGGUAAGCAGUGCUGAAGUUCAGAAGGGUUCCCAAUUCCUCUUGUAAUUUCUGCUAGAACUUUGAAGUGAAUUGGCUCCCUCGAUCAGACACUAUCUUCUUAGGUACCCCAUGUAAACACAUGAUUCUUGUCAGAUAAAGUUCUGCUAACCUCUUCCCUGAGUAGGUAGUAUGCACCGGAAUGCAGUGAGCCACUUUAGUGAGUCGAUCAACAACUACCCAAAUAGAAUCAUGCCCCGAUGACGUCCUGGGCAAACCCGUAAUGAAAUCCAUUCCGAUUUCUUCCCACUUCCAUUCUGGAAUCUGAAGUGGCUGUAGCAAACCUGCUGGCCUUUGGUGUUCUGCCUUUACUCGCUGGCAAACGUCACAGAGUGCGACGAAUUCAGCUAUUUCCCUUCUCAUGUUGACCCACCAGAAUUUUUCUUUGAGGUCUUGGUACAUCUUGGUACUGCCAGGAUGAAUGGAAUACUGAGUUUGAUGAGCUUCUGUCAUUAUCAAGUCCUUUAACUCCUUGUUUUCAGGUACACACAAUCUUUCCCCCAUCCAGAUUGUUCCUUGUUCAUCCUCAACAAAACCUCGGGCUUUUCCAACUCUCAUGUUCUUUUUGAGCUCUGCUAUUUUAGGGUCACUUGCUUGAGCUAUGCGAACCUGCUCCACCAGUGUGGGUUGUGCCUCUAGGGCAGCCACGAAUCCGUGCUCAACUAUACCAAGGUUCAGAUGUUCCAAAUCACAUUGAACCUCACAACAUAGUUGCUCUACCCAUGCAACAUUGCAGUAGCUCUUCCUGCUCAAGGCAUCUGCAACCACAUUAGCCUUGCCGGGAUGAUAAUGUAUUCCCAUAUCAUAAUCGUUGAUUAGCUCUAACCAUCUUCGCUGUCUGAGAUUCAAAUCAGGUUGAGUGAAGAUGUACUUUAGACUUUUGUGAUCUGUAUAUACCUCACAACGGUUACCGAUGAGAUAGUGCCACCAAAUCUUUAAAGCAUGAACAACUGCGGCCAAUUCCAGAUCAUGCGUCGGGUAGUUGCCUUCAUGAGGACGCAACUGCCAUGAAGCAUAAGAAACCACUUUGCCAUCCUGCAUCAACACACAUCCUAGCCCCUGACGAGAUGCAUCACAAUAGACCUGUAAAACUUUCGUCUGAUCAGGCAGGAUUAAGACUGGUGCAGACACCAACCGUCGUUUGAGUUCUUCAAAACUCCUAUUGCAUUCAGCAGACCAGAUAAAUUUUUCUUCCUUCUUCAAUAGCUGUGUCAUUGGCUUAGCAAUUUUAGAGAAGUUCUCAAUGAAACGGCGGUAAUAGCCCGCAAGUCAUAAGAAACUCUGAACCUGAGUGACUGUCCUUGGUGGGGUCCAUUUGGUAACUGACUCCACAUUUGCUGGAUCCACAGCUACUCCUUGAGCAUUCACGAUGUGACCGAGAAACUGAACUUCCUUAAGCCAAAAGUCACACUUGCUGAACUUGGCAUAUAGCUGGUGCUCUUUUAACUUUUCAAGUACUAGUCGGAGAUGCUGCUCAUGCUCUUCCUCGGACUUGGAGUAGAUAAGUAUGUCAUCGAUGAAAACCACGACAAACUUGUCUAGAAAUUCCAUAAACACCUUGUUCAUCAAAUUCAUGAAGAAAGCAGGUGCAUUAGUGAGUCCGAAAGACAUAACUGUGCAUUCGAACAACCCUUACCGAGCGAUGAAUGCUGUCUUUGGAAUAUCCUCUUCGCGGAUCCUCAACUGGUGAUAGCCUGAUCGUAGGUCUAUCUUAGAGAACACAGUAGCUCCUUUCAACUGAUCAAACAGAUCAUCAAUUCUUGGCAACGGAUACUUGUUCUUAAUAGUGACCUCAUUGAGUGCGCGGUAGUCGACGCACAUCCUUUUGGUUUUAUCUUUCUUUUCCACAAAGAUAACUAGAGCACCCCAAGGCGACGUGCUCGGGCGAAUGUAUCCCUUCUGUAACUGUUCAUCAACUUGGUUCUUGACUUCCGCCAACUCGUUGGCUCUCAUUCUGUAAGGCCUCUUGUGGAUCGGUGCAGUUCUAGGUACCAAGUCAAUCCGGAACUCGAUAUCCCUUUUUGGUGGCAUUGUUGUCAGAUCAUCCGGAAAAACCUCUGGAUACUCUCUGACUAUAGGAAUAUCCUCCAACUUCUUAGUGGUUUUCUCCACUGCUACCUCUUGUUCUUCACCAGCAGCCUGGUUUAAACUGAUCCCUGGCUUCUGCGGCACUGGAGACUGGAAGGUUACCACUUCUCCUUUCGCAUUGGUUAACUUGAUGGUGCGGCUAGCACAAUCAAUCACUCCUCUGUACCGUGUCAACCAAUCCAUUCCAAGAAUGACAUCAAGGUCCUUGGACUCAAGAAGAAUGAGGUUGGCUGGAAAAAUCAACCCUUGAAUUUCAACUGUCAUUGAUGGGCAGUAGUGAGUUGUGGUCAUGCCACCUCCAGGAGUAUGAACUCGCAUUGGUAUCUUAAGCUUCACUAAAGAUAACCCAUGCGCACCAGCAAAACGCUUGGAAAUGAAGGAAUGAGUUGCACCAGAAUCAAACAAUAUUACUGCCGGUGUCGAGUUGACGGGGAAUGUGCCCAAUAUAACCUCUGGUGCUGACUGCGCCUCCUCUGCAGAUGCAUGAUUGACACGGGCCUGAACGAACUUGAGUCUGGCACGUCUUGGCUUCGGGCACAUACGUACCAUGUGUCUAGGCUCGUUACAAUUGAAGCAGAGUUCGGGCUUUUCUCCAAACUUUUUGGGCUGUUCUUGCUGAGCUGACUGAACUGACUGAGCUGGAAUCAUUAGUGGACUUGGAGUAGGGUUGAGGCUGUGCUGCUCACUAUUUCUGUGACUGCCACUGUUGUUGAUGCUGUUGAAAUUGUCCGGGUGGUAAGGACGAUGGUGCCGGAUAAUCAUGGUGGAAGGUCCACCCUGAUGUCCCAUCGUGAAGCGAGGCUUCUGACUGUUCCCCUGGGAAGUUCUGAACUAAGAUGCCUUCCUUUUUCGGUUCAUUUUGUUACCCUGCUCCUCCUGACGGAUAGCUUUGUCUACCAACUUCUGAAAGUCCUCAUAAUCUCGGGAGAUCAACUGGUUGGUCAAUUCAUCAUCAAGACCCGACAAAAACUUCUCCUGCCUCUCGGCAUCAGUGCGCACGUCCUCAGGAGCGUAGCGCGCGAGGCGAUUGAACUCAUGCAAAUACUCUAUAACUGUUCUGGUUCCUUGUUGCAAGGAACGGAACUCUCUCUUCUUUGGUGCCACAAUUCCCUCGGGAACCUGUGCUUUAUUGAAACUCUGACAAAACUCUGCCCAGGUAACCUCUGUCCUAGCUGGACGGGUCCCCACGUAGUUGUCCCACCAAACAGAAGCGGGACCUUGCAGCUAGUGUGUAGCAAAAGCAACCUUCUCUUGGUCGUUGCAUUGCAAAAGGUUCAGCUUCUUCUCAAUAGCAUGAAGCCAGUCGUUGGUCUCGAUUGGGUUGGUGGUACUUGAGAAAGUGGGCAGUUUGACAUGGAGAAAUUCUAACAGUUUGGAUUGAGGAGGUGGAAGACCAAACUGCAGGUUCUGCUGCUGCUGUUGUGCUUGCUGCUGCACCUGCUGCAACACCUGAUGGUACUGUUGUUGCAUCUGUUGCAUCAUCAUUGACAUCAUCUGAGUCUGAUUGUCCAACACCUGAGCGAUCGUUGGGUUCUCGGGCGGUGGAGAUGGACUGUUGUCAGAUGCACUGUUGGCACGUGCUCCACUAAUCUGCUCUUCGCUGCCACUGACAUUGCUAGAGUCACGUGAACCAUUCCUUGUCUUCACCAUCUGAAGGGGGAUAGGUAGAAAUAUGAGAAAAGGAAGAAAAACAGGGGGCUCAGAAACUAAUAUUUCUUAUAAAUUUAGGUGCAAUUAUCUUAAUCUUGAUUAAAACACUGAAAAAGAGGCACGCAACUCUUAAUUAAGUCAGCCAUACCACUCACACAUGAUAUCGACCGCCAACUAACCCACAAGCAACAAACCUAAGCACGGAAACUAGCAAGCAAACAAAACUAAGAAGACGAUAAAACUAAGGGCGGCGACUCUGAAGCUCGGAGCGGCGAUUGCAAUCGAGGGAUAGGACUGACAUCUAAAGUAGACAAGGGAUAAGAACCAAUUCAUGCUAAAUUCCAAAUUAAACAAAGCAACAAAUGACUCAAAUAAAUAACCUAGCAUGACUGAUUUUUAUGCAUAGAACGUUUUUCAUGAACCCAGAUAAAGACACUAAUGCAACUGACUAAACAAUAAAUUAAUGCAUAAAUUAGAUGCAUAGAAAAUAAUGCGCAUAAAAUUGCCCCAUCGAACAUAGACACGACCUAAUGCAUAUCACCUGAUAGAUUCCCGACUGACUGUCAAAUAAACUCCAAAUAAAAUUUUACUAAAACCCUAGACUGAGCUAAUUUUAAAGAUCCGAUCCGAAUGAAGGACCAAGAUUUUUCCCACAAACCAAAGAGGCAAAACCCAAAAUUUUCCCGAAACAAAUCCAAGUGAAAAAGGCAUAUGCAUAUGAAAAGGGGUUCAGAGGGCUCUUAGGUUUCCAGUUGGCUUGUCCUACGGUCAGUCUCGGCUCUGAUACCAACUUGUCAUGCCCAGAAAUUCACGAACCAGAAUUUCGAAGCUGAAUGUGCAUUAAAUCCCUGUCCAGGACCAGCCAGGGUACACAAACGACAAUUGUUGACAUACAGAUCCACGUCUUACAAAAAUGGAAAAGAUUACAAAUGCAGCGCAAAAGAAAAACGAGCUAGACUUGGAAACUUGACUUCUGCAGCGGGGCGACUCCACUCCACAGGCAAUCCUUGAUGCCAGCGACGAAACCAACUUCGGUAAGACACCUCCCACUAGGAAGAUCUUCAGCUCUGGUGUGGGGGAAAAGAUAGCAAGACUGAGUACUACCCACUGUACUCAGCAAGUUAUACCGGAAGAGGAGGUAUGAUGCAGGAUAUAACCUAAGGAGGCUAAAGGCUCUUUGCACAAAGUAGGCAUUUAAAAACAGUAGUUGAAAGCAGUAAAACAGUUAUAGUAAUUAAUCAAUAUUAACCAAACACUGUCCAACGCUACACCACGUUGCAACAGGCCCAACCAACCAUCUGAACUACACCAGUUUAUUAAGCUAAACUAGGGGUGAGACUAAUCACGGUGAAUCUGGUUGAUCGCCCAUAACCGCGGGCAUGGCUAUUCGAAUAGUUUUACUCUGGCCAGAAGUGUACAACUGUACCCACAAGACACGAUUCCACACAUGUCGCCAUGCCCCGAAGUAUCACCAUGAUACUGCAAAGGGGGAAAUCGUGACAAGACCCUCCGCAUAACCCUUCCCUAACCAUCCACACCACGCUAAGGUUUUGUCACGCCCGGAAUUUCUAUCCAAAAUUCCAAACGCUUACAUGUGUGUGAACCCUCGUCCAGGAAUCAGCCGAGGCACACAAUAACAAAUUGAUAAUAGAGUACAAUUAUUACUCUAAUUAAUAAGCGAAUAAAAUGUCAUUCCAGAGGUAGAUAGUUCCUCUCAAUCAAUAAAGAUCUAAGCAGCGGAAAGAAGAUAAACGGCGCAGACGGCUCCACUCCACAGGCAGCUUGACCAGGGCUACACCUAAUCCUCCACACCAUCAGCAUCAUUGUAGAACUCUUCCUCUGAUGAAUGAUUGCAAGGUGAGUAUAUGACAUACUCAACAAGUCACGCAGCAAAUAUGCAAGUGCACAGGAUACCAAAGGAUGGCAUAGUAGGGUUUCAUUUGCAUAAACAACAUUUAAUAAACAUUUCAGAAUUUAAUAAAACGGUUAAGUAAUAAUUAAACACUAUUAAUCCAACGCUAUACAACAUACCCUGUUGUAUAGGCCCAACCAUUCUGAACAACCAUACCCGGCUGUACAGAUCUAUCUCCAAACCAGGAAUAUACCAUUCCAAACCAGGAGCUAAACAAAUUAUUACCAUUUAUAGCAUCUGUUAUCAUGAUGAGAGGUGUGAGACUAAUCACGAAAGACAUUGUUAGACCCGCCCAUAACCGCGGGCACGGCUAUUCGAAUAGUUUUACUCUGGCCAGAGGUGUACCACUGUACCCACAAGACAGCCCCACAACAUGUCACCAUGUGCCUCAAUACCACCACGGUACCUCGGAAAGGAGCUGUGACAAUACCCCUCGCACAACACAAUCCACCACAGGGCACCUUUCCUGGAUCAUAAUCACCCCGUUAUAAACAAGGCAUGGACUCCCCAGCGACCCCCGUGGGCUUAUCUCCGCCACUUCUCAGUCUGGUGCUCCGCAAUGAACCAUGCUAUACAAAAGGUAAAGCCGUUGCCCACGCUGGCUUGUGGUUGGCACGGUUAAUGUUUCACAACCGAAACUCGUGAACCGGUCCUUAAUUGUCAUGAGCAUGUCUCUCAAAACCAUGUGCUCACAACCCACCAUUAUCAAGUUUUAGUUGGCAAGUAAUUAAUUAACCAAUCACGAUUGGCCAUCGUGAGCUAUCAUUAAGCCAUCAUUAAAUAAUAGUGAAUCAUAAGUUAUCCCAAUAGUGUGCUAAUGUUUCUAAGCAUGGCUAAGCAAUCAUAUCUAAUAUCUAGCUGAACCAAUAUAUAUAUAGCCCAACUAGUCAAGUUAUAAAAACCCAAGGUAUCAAGGAAUAAAGUAAUCAAGAACAAAAGGAUUAUAACAAACAAUAGGUUAAUUCCACCCAAUGACAUUCGAAAAUAAAUGCAAUAGUUGAAUAGAAACAAUAGCUUUAAACGGGAUCAACAUGCUCAAAGGGUUGUUUGGGAUCUGUGUGACUUGCCUUGCUGGCCCUGGAACUCUUCAAAAUCUUCCCCUGCGAAAACGGACUCUCCGGAAACGUCGGAAUCUAAACAGAAAAGAGCAAAAUCACCAAAACAGCAUAUAAACAAGCAUGAACAGUACAUGUGGAUAUUUUUAACAUGUAGAUCUCAAUUUUAGAAAAAUUUAGAGACUUGAACCAACUAAAUCCGAGCUAAGAUGAAUUAGUUAUGAAUUUUCAAAGAUUAAAUCGAUUUAAAUCACUUAUAUGGAUUUUAAUUGAAUUAUGACGCAAUAAUGAAUUAUUUUUGAAAAGGAAAAAGGGAAUUAUUGCGUCAGCGGCUAGGGUUGCGGUGGACCGGGCGCACGGUGGCGGCUCACGGAAACGAACGGCCGAGAUCUUUCCAUCCAAAACGGACGGCCGAGAUCGACCGGUCCACGGCCGGACCACGAGAGACGACGAUGAUGACGUCAGCGGUGACGUCACCACCGACGGCGGCUCGGGCUUGCAAACUCGCCGGCGAACGACGGCGCGACGACGCGAACGGAGGGCACCAGCACGUAGAGGGCGACGCGGCGAACUCACCGGUGACCAAAACGGCGGCGGAAGAUCAACGGACGGCGACGGCGUCGAGGAAGAAGCGGCGGCACUCUUCGGCUUGACGACGGCGACGGUGCUCCGGCGGUCUUCAGCGACGGCGAAGGGGUGGACGAGGACGGCGACGCGACGGCGACCACGACGGCAGCCUUCCCGAGCGACGGCGACGACUGGAGCGACGGCGACGCACGGCUGGAGCGGCGGCAACGACGGCGGCGCGAGGUCUCACGGUGCUAGGACGCUACCGACGGCGAGAGGCGAAAGCAAGGGUGGCGGCGGGUAGCGACGGGCUUGGGGAUCCUUUUAUAGGGGUUGGAGGGCGGCGGCGAAGGCCCACGGCGACCGGCGACGCGAUGGAAGGUUAGGGUUCGAAGGAGAGAGGCCGAUCCGAAUCGAACUCGAAUCCACGAACUUCCAAAGCGAUUUAAACGAUGAUUCCAAAAGAGAAAAGGUGGAGGAGAUCCCGGAGAUCAUUUCCCCUCUAUUGAUUUCACCGGAGAAGGAAAGGGGCGGCCGAAUUUGGAAGGAGACGACGGCGGUGCGGCGCUAGGGUUUCGGCCGGUGGCGGCUGGAGGUUGACGACGACCCCGACAGGCGGGACCCACCUGUCAGCGGCAGUGAGCGCUCGCGCAGGCGGCUCGGCUACGGACUGGGCCGACUUGGGCUGGGGAGAGAGAGAGAAGGUUUUGGGCCGACUUUCGGCCCAAAGCCAAAAGAGACUUUUAAAAUCCUUUUUCAAUUUAAAUUAUUCAUGAAAUGCAAUUCCAUUUAUUAAAAAUACUUCCUUAGCUCAAAUAAAUCCCAGAAGAAUCUAGGAAUUAUAGAAUUAAGCAAAGUAUUUAAUGAAAUUUUAUCUGGCCCCAUUUUAUAUUGGAAUUUAUUAAUUAAAAUUAGAUCUUCUCUUCUAGGCUUUUAAAAUCAUUUCUAAAAAUUCCAAUUAAACAACAAUUUAUACAUUUUGGAUUUUUAGGGUGUGACAGGUUUCACCCCCACCCCUCAAAAGGCAGCUGGACAACCGGACACCCCGGCCGACCCAACUCCAUCACGCCCACCCUCGCCACCGGUGCCUAGGAAAGGGUUGAGCUAUACCUCAGAUCAAGCAGUUACCCACUCCCGCUUGUGGUAAGCACGGUAAGUCUCCCAGGGUUUCCUAUGAACCGGUCCUUAAUUGCCAUGGGUGCGACCAGCAAAACCAUGCACCCACAACCCACCAUUCGGUGUAUUUUAAAUAACUAACACCAUUGCGGUGGCACCAAUCCAGAACUAUGCUCAUAGUCAAAGUCUAUGUAAUAACUAAGCAUGGCUGAGCAUUUCCUAAACCAACAUCUAAUCAUUUUGAUACCCCAGUUAUCAAUGGCAUAUGGUAAAUGAUAUAUGGCUGAGUAAUAGGACCCAUCCCACAUGACAUUGUAAAAGAGUGCAACAUUUAAUAGAAAUGCAGGGUGUUUGUAAAUUGGGUACAAUAUGAUCAAAUGUAAAGGAUAACUUGCCUUGCUCUCGCACUGAUGAGACCUCAGCAACGUCUUUGAGAAACUGCGGAUCGAUGAAAUGGCCGAAAUCUACGCGACAAACAAAGCACACAAGCAAAACAUGCUAUAAGACUACUGAAACAGGAAACAAAACCAUUUUUAAUGGAUUCUUUGCAUUUUUAUGAAUUUACUGAGACUUGAAUAGACUUAAACGAAGCUCGGAUGAAUUACUUAUGAAUUUUAGAAGAUAAACUGUGUUUUUACUAAUAAAGAAAAUGUCCUUAAUCAAUUUAUUGCGCAAUAAAUCCCAGGGCUGACGUCAUCCAAGGGGGGGGGGGCGGCUGCGCCGACAGGUGGGCCCCGCUUGUCAGCGCACAAGGGGAGGAAGAGGGGGCUCGGGCAAGUGGGCCCCACUGGCAGCGGCACAAGGUGGCUGGUCUACCGUGGACCGGGACCACGCAGGUGGUCCACCGCCGGUCCACGGGACCGACGGUCCGGAUCGACCCGAGGCCGAUCGGACAGCGCGGGCGGCGGCUAGGCACGGCUUGGCUCGGCACAAAGCCGACCGACCGGCCAUGGCGAGCGGCGGCGGUGCGCGCGGCUGCCGAUGGCGACGACUGGCGGAGGGAGGCGGCGGCGGACGGCGCGAAAGGCGGCGGCGGACGGCGCGAAAGGCUGCGGCGGACGGCCGGAGCGGCGACACGGCCAAAGGCGGUGGCACGGCCAAAGGCGGCGGCGCACGCGGGAAGGGGAGAAAAGGGAGGGGGAGGGAGUCCUCACCGGAGGGACGGCGACCGGAGCGGGAGGGAAUGAGCGGUGGCAGCACUUCGGAAAACGGCGGACGGGAGCGGCGCGACCUGGGAAAAGGCAGUGAAGGGGUUAGGGAGAAGAGAGGAGCCGCGGCACGGCGAGGAGAAAUGGCUGGAGAUGGAAACAAUGGCAAGCUCACCGGCGGCGCGAGGGAAUCGGAGCUCCGGUGGUGAUUCGCGGCAACGAAGCGGCGGCAGAGGUGCGGGCGGGCUCGGUGAGCACGACGGCGGCGACUGCGCGGCGCGGCGGCGGCUCUAGCGGCGGCGGCGCGCGGCCGGAGAUAGGUAGCGGCAGCGGCUAGGUGUGGCGGCGAUAGGGGCACGGGAGAGGGUGGCAAAUGUGGGAAACGAGAGAGGGAGCUCGGGGGAGUGAUUUAAAGGUGCGGGAGGGGGCGGACGUGGCCGGGAAGGUGGCCGAUUUGGCCGGCGAUGUGGGGGAGUGGGGAGGAAGAGAGAGAGGGGGAUUCAAAUUGAACCCCGCCCACUCUCGGGCGCACGUGGGGGCGGGAGGAGCGGGGGAGGGGUGGCGACGUGGGCACGAGGUGUGGGCGCGGAGUGGAGGCGCGACGUGGAGCGGAGAAGGCGGGAAACGGCGGCGGCGUGGCGGUUUUGGCGGCAGCGGCGGUUGGAGCUCCGGCUGUAACGGCCGGAGGUAGGAGACGACCGACAGGUGGGGCUCACCUGUCGGCGUCCCGAGAGAGGAGGGGCGGCUUGGGUCGGCCCACAAGGAGGAGGGACCACGGGAGAGGGAUGGGCCGACGGCCCAACAAAGAAAAAGGAGGGAAAAGAAAAGAAAAAGAGAAAAAGGAUUUUCCUAGGAUUAAAAAUAUUGCACUUGCUCAAUUUUAAUUGGUUAAAAUUAUUUCCAAUUCUCUGAAAAUUUCCACUAAAAAUCAUGUUAAUGUAUUGGAGCAUGGGGAACUCAAGAAAAAUUCCACCACGCCGAAUUCGAUUAUUAAAUGCAUUUAUUAAUUAGGGAUUUAGCUCUAGGUUAAUUAAGAUAAUUUCUUCGGGCAAUUUAUUUAACCAAUUUUUUUAAGGCAAGAAAAGGGGGGGAAACUUCACGGUUUGACAACAUGCCCGUGGAGAAGAUGAAGUAUUGGACCAUGCAUUUUGACGGGUUGAAGAGGCUUUCAGGCACCGGAGCGGGGGUUGUUCUAAUUUCCCCGACUGGAGAAAGACUGAGCUACGUAUUGUGGAUACAUUUUUCUGCGUCUCACAACAUGGCAGAAUGCGAGGCGCUUCUUCACGGACUAAGGAUCGCAAUCUCUUUGGGAAUUCGGCGUUUGAUAGUUCGUGGAGAUUCUCAGUUGGUUUUUAAUCAAGUUAUGAAGGAGUGGUCCUGCCUUGAUGAUAACAUGACCGCUUACUGACAGGAGGUACGUAAGUUAGAGGACAAAUUCGAUGGACUUGUGCUCACCCAUGUUCUUCGACACAACAAUGAGGCAGCCGACAGAUUGGCUAAUUUUGGUUCAAAACGAGAAGCAGCUCCUUCCACGUGUUUAUUGAACAUCUCUAUGAGCCAACCGUACCAAGGAAAGAAACAAUCGAGGCCACGGACACUCAAGACGUAAACAUGAUUGAAUCCGACUGGAGAGAGCCCCUCAUAAUAUUUUUAACAAAACAAGAACUCCCUCAAGAUAAAGAUGAAGUCGAGCGGAUCUCCAGGUGCAGCAGACUUUAUGUCAUUCAUGAGACUGAACUGGACAAGAAGAGUCCAUCGGGAGUCCUGCAACGCUGCGUUUCUUUGGAGGAGGGAAGACAAUUGCUAAGAGAUAUACAUUCAGGCAUCUGUGGCAAUCACACUGCCGCACGAACCAUCCUUGGUUCGUAAGGCUUACCGGCAAGGUUUUUUCUGGCCCACAGCCGUGUCCAACACUGACAAAAUUGUGCGAACAUGUGAGGGUUGUCAAUUUUUUGCCCGACAAACUCAUCUACCAGCUCAGGAGUUGCAAACCAUCCAAUUGUCUUGGCCGUUUGCGGUUUGGGGGCUCGACAUGGUCGGCCCAUUUAAAAAGGCAGUCGGUGGUUAUACUCACCUCUUUGUGGCUGUUAACAAAUUUUCCAAGUGGAUUGAAGCCAAACCGGUCAUCACAAUCACGGCAGACAAGGUUAGAGAUUUCUUCAUCAACAUUAUGCACCGGUUUGGGGUACCCAACAGGAUCAUUACGGAUAACGGUACUCAAUUCACGGGUGGGGUAUUUAAAGAUUUCUCUGAGGACUUCGGCAUCAAAAUUUGUUAUGCCUCCGUAGCGCAUCCUAUGAGCAAUGGACAAGUCAAACGCGCCAAUGGCAUGGUACUCCAAGGAAUAAAAGCACGAGUUUUCGACAGACUGCAUCCCUAUGCCGGCAAGUGGGUAGGACAGCUGCCGUCUAUAUUUUGGUCCUUGCGCACCACUCCCAGUUGGGCUACGGGCCAAUCACCGUUUUUCCUAGUAUAUGGAGUGGAAGCAAUGUUGCCCAGUGAGGUGGAAUAUGAAUCUCUACGUUUUCGUAACUUCAGCGAGGAGCGCUACGGAGAAGACCGAGUAGAUGAUCUCAACCGACUGGAAGAAGCCCGCGAAGCAGCCUUAAUUCAGUUGGCUCGGUACUUGCAAGGGAUGCGCCGUUAUCAUAAUCGCAAUGUUCGAUCACGAGCUUUUUUAGUCGGCGACCUGGUUUUGAGAACAAUUCAAACUACAUGGGAUCGGCACAAGUUAUCUCCCUUGUGGGAAGGACCAUUCAUAAUUUCUGAAGUCACUCGGCCAGGUUCUUACCGACACAAGCGUGAAGACGGUACUCCUAUCGACAACUCUUGGAAUAUCGAACAUCUUCGUCAUUUUUAUGCUUAGGCAUUACUUUUGUAUUUCCCUCUUUGACUACUAACAUCAAGUUUUUCCUUGAGUUAUCAGUCGGGGGCUACUAUAAUAAUAAUGGAGUGUGAUUUUUAUCAAUUCAAUUUGCUUACUUGAUUUAUCAUUGCCUUGUUUGGUUUUUUGGCUCAGUCAAUGAAGACUGAAAGUUUUUAAGAACUUUUGCGGGUUCUAGGCUCAAUAAGGUUUGACAAAAACUUUUAAGAAAUCAGGAGCUGAGUUUAAAUCAUCAAGCAUAGCAUAAAUUCAUCAGUAUUGUACAAAUUGUGCCUCCAUCAUCAUUAUCAUCAUCAUCAUCAUUGUUAUAAUACAACAUCAAUCAGUAUCAGUUUUUUCAUCAUCGGAAUUAUUAGAUCCAGUCGGCCGGAGGUCGUUGUCCUGGAAUCUCUCAACUACAUCAACGACUAUCUUAUCGGCGGCUUUCUGCGCAUCAUUGAUAAGGUCAAGGGCGGCUUCUUCGCUUGUCCCGUCUGCAAAGCCAUCAACGGCGUCAAUGUCAAUCUUCGGGUACAAAGACUUGGUCAUUGCCAACGCUAAGCUCGCUCCCAUACUUCCAGCUUCCUUGAUAUUCUUAAAAUAUGUAUCCAGAGCAAUUCUCAGCUUGUCGAAGAUUUCGGAAGCAUCGAAUGUACUCGGACCAUUGUUAUUGAAGAACAUGGCUUGGACGAGUGGUGUAGCGGCGUUGGCGACUUCAUCUCUAGCUCCCUCAAGCCUCUUAAUUUUGUUGACCAAGACAUCGAAUUGAGCCUGAGAUUUGAUCUUGCGAUCUACAUAAAUAGAUUUAUAUCAACGAGUGGGCAUAAAGAAAGGAAUGGUUUUUGAAGUAUUAGUUACCAGUACCUUCAACAUCUUUCAGAGCCAAGUCCCUCUGUCUUGCCAAUUCGGCAUUGUCUUUCUCCAGAGCUUGGAUCCGCUUUUCCAGCUCGGAUAUCUUGGCAGCUUGCACUGUAUUUCUUCUUGUUGGUUGAUAUCACAUGGAUGGUAGCAUAAAUAAGUCAGACAAAUAUUGUAUUUACCUUUUGACGAUCCGCUCAGUUCAAAGUUGGAGUCUUGGAGCUCAGCGAUUCGGUCUCUCAGGUCAUGCUCAGUCUUCCUGGCAAGCUCCUUAUAUCAACAUAAAUAGAUUUAUAUCAACGAGUGGGCAUAAAGAAAGGAAUGGUUUUUGAAGUAUUAGUUACCAGUACCUUCAACAUCUUUCAGAGCCAAGUCCCUCUGUCUUGCCAAUUCGGCCUUGUCUUUCUCCAGAGCUUGGAUCCGCUUUUCCAGCUCGGAUAUCUUGGCAGCUUGCACUGUAUUGCUUCUUGUUGGUUGAUAUCACAUGGAUGGUAGCAUAAAUAAAUCAGACAAAUAUUGUAUUUACCUUUUGACGAUCCGCUCAGUUCAAAGUUGGAGUCUUGGAGCUCGGCGAUUCGGUCUCUUAGGUCAUGCUCAGUCUUCCUAGCAAGCUCCUUAGCUUCGUGUAGCUGGUUUCUAGUGGCCUCAAGGGUUCCAAGAUGGGGAACUAAUUUCUCAAGAGUCGCAGUCUUCGCCUCGUUCCUGAGAUGGAUUCUCUGCAAUGCAAAUUUAUCCGUAUUUGAGCAAAGUGGCUGACAGGAUGAUUGAAGCUGAGUAUAAGAAGACUUACAUUUACGAGGCGAGUAGCUUGGCCGAGUGUCUUUUUCAGCAGACAUACUUCCUUGUCCUCUUUUUGUUUAUUUAUUACGAUCCCCUAGGGCUGCAUGUCGUCAUCCCACCACUUGACUAAUAUGGGUGGGCGAGAAUCUUCAGCCGAUUGUAUCCGGAGGACCUCUUCUUCGUCGCCGACCAUCGGGCCUUAGGCAUUCAUGAAUAAUGGUGAAACAAUUGAAGAAAGUCUGUCGGAUCAAAAUAGAUUUGGAGGAUUUGCUUACCUGUUAUGAUUUCUGGUCGGGGACGAGCAGGUCCUUGCACCCUAACAGGGGAAUUAGUUCCAGAGUUGGCGCCAGCGCUCGCCUUGGGAGGGCUAUCAGGCUGGGUCUCUACCUCCGAGAUGUCAUUAUUUUGCUCUGUACCCGACUGAUUUCCAGUCGAGGGCUCCUGAUUAGCACCAACUCCUGCUUCGGCCGACUGAUUUCCAGUCGGGGGCUUGUCGCUGGUCUCUACGUUGUCAGUUGCUGGUUGAUUAUCACUCGGGCGAUCUUCGGCGGUCGGCUCGGUUUCUUUUGAAGGGCCCGUCUCCAUGUCAGUCGGCUCAGAGUCUUUUCCAGAAGGAUCUAUGUCAGAUGGCUUCCUACAAAUUUGAGUUAUGCUAUCAGUGCUAUUUCGAUAGUUAGUGAGCAGCAAUACAAGGAAGAGGGCUAAAUGAUUUGUACUUGGAGGACUUCCUGAUUUUCGGCAUGGGACGACUGGAUGUUUUCUUCUUUGGGUUAGCUUGCCUUCUUGGUUUUCCAGUCACCCCCUUGCUGCCAACUUUUUCAGAGUCAUCAUUUUUGUCGUCGCUCAGAACCAAUUUCCUCUUGCAGAAGUCUGAUUGGUUGGCUGAUUGAGUGGUGCUGGGUUGAGAAUCAGACCGGAUAUUUGGUCCUCCGCCAGCUUGACCAGUUUGACGACGGGGUGAGCGGCGUUGAGCAGUUGGAGGGUCUAACUUCAUCAAGGCGAAUUCCUGGGCAUGAUGAUUCACGUUUUCAAUCAACUUUGUAGAUGAUAAAAGCAUGCUUUCGAGAAAGGCUGAAAUUUUAAAUACAUACCGCUGGAGGGGGGUUGAAGGCAUUGUAUGGCACCACUGGCAGCAAGUGUGAAUAGCUAACUACGACUGCAUUUGAGAAGAGUUUAUACAUUCUCUCCUUCAUAACCUUAAAUUCAAGAGAUUCAGGAUCUUCACGGUUAGGGUCAUGCUUGCCGUCGAAUUCAAAGGCCGUGCGAGAUCUUUCUUUGAUUGGGGCCAGUCAGCUCUUGAUAAAGUGCCGGGUGAUCUGUUCUCCUUGCAGACCUUGCUCCUUUAGUUUCAGCAUACAGUCCAUCAGGGCAAGCGCCUGAGCGGCUUCCUUUCCCAUUAGAAGUGAGUUCCAAGUGUCCUGAUAAACUGGAGGAAGACAGGAGUACUCGGGGAGUGCAGGCUCGGGGUUUUGUACAUAGAACCAAUUUGCAUGCCAGCCUUUGUUUGAAGUUUUGAAGGGCAUGGACAAAUACUUUUGGCUCAGAGUUCCCCUCAGUUGAAAUCCAGCACCCCCAACUACGCAUGGCUUGCUCUUGUUCGGUUGGGGUUUGAGGAAGAAGAUAUAGCAGAAUAGGGCAAAAUGUGGCCUGACGCCCAUAAAAGCUUCGCAGGCAUGUAUGAAGUUGGCAAUAUGAACUAUGGAAUUCGGGUUUAGGUGAUGCAAACUAAUCCCAUAGAAAUCCAAAAUCCACCGGAAGAAUCUUGAGGUUGGAAGAGAGAACCCACCGUAAAAGAAAUAGGAGAACACCAUGACCUCGUGUGUGUCCGGGGUCGGGAAUGCUUCGUCGUACGCCGAACGCCAUCCAAUGAUCUCCUUCGCUGGAAGAACACCAUGUGCUACCAUUUCCUUCAAGCUUUCCACCGUGACGUCGGAGGGCGCCCAUUGGCUCUCGAAGCUUUCUCUCUCCUCUACCAUGGAUGUGAAUUGGAUGAUGCAAUUUGCUUUCGAAAUGGCUGGGGAUGGAUGGGGGAUUGAUGCGGUGGAUGCGCGGAUGGUUUCUGUGGAGUUUUGGAAGGGGGAUUUGAGCGAAUCGGAGAACCCUAGUUCCGCCGGAGUGGUUUGGCACUGUAGCGAGGAAUGGGGAAAAUGGCGAAAGUCUCGGUGGGGAAGACGAAGCGGCGUUUGGUUUUUUGGUGUUAUUAGGGUAUCGGGAGUACUAAUGGGCCUGGGCCUAAAACAGUACUUCAACCCAAUUCUGUUAUCGGCGUGGCUAAGUUGUGAUCCGUAGGGACUUAGGCAUUUUUGCUUCGGCAAUUUUCGCUCACAAUAGUAUGGCCCAAUGCUGUUAAAAUCCUUUUUGAUGCAGUUAGAUAAUUCCUUGGAAUUACUACGAUGCAAAUAAAAAGGUACCCGACAGAAAGGUGUUAUACUUCUUCUUGUAAGUCUUUUUAGGCUGCAAAGGCUGUUUGGGUUUCGUUGAGAUGAUUGGUUUUUGAACAGUCAUUCUCUCAGCAUGUUAUAUGCUUAUUUUGAUUAUGGCAUGAGUCAUAGCCUAGGCUAUUUCGACUCAUUAAUUGCCGUGCUGCCAUAUUUAUACCACAUUUGAUGGAUCUUUGAGAGUUUUUACUCAGAUUCUUGUCAUAUGUGCUGAUUUAUGGACCUUUAGAGUAUUUUUUACUCGGGCCUCUUUAUAUUUCCAUUUUUGGUAUAUUAAAGCUAAAGUAGUCGGCUGGAUGUUUUAUUAAACGUCGCAUAUGCUUAGUUGUAUAAUAUUUUGGAUGAUUCGGUUGUAAAACCACUCGGAUGGAUGUUAUUUGCACUUUGACUAUGUGUUUAGCCUUUAGCUACUCACCUAGUCGGGGGCUACACCUAAUUAGGUUUAUCUAUUCGAUGCACCUAAUUAUUUAUUUUUAGCCCUUCACAGUCUUUGAUUUUGGUACUCUGGAGAUCAAUGCAGAAGAAAGUGAAGCACUUGGAUUAUCAUUUUGCGCUCCGACAGAAGGCUAUUUCGUCGACUGUAAAGGUCUCAGGGGCUACUGUGGAGAUUAUGGAUACCCCCUACCUACACGGCAUGUAUAGUCCGACUGGGAAUGGGGUGCCACGUGUAGAUAGAAUAUCUUUAGAAGGACUCGGGUUAAAUUCUAAACUUGUAUGUCAAGGAAAUAUCAGAGAUCCUAGUCGGUUACGAUUGUAUUUUAUCUGUAACUACAUAUUCCGUUAGGGAUAUGGACUGUAGUUUGUAAUACGGACCCCUUCCCCUAUAUAAGGAGGGGUCCGGGUGCCUCUAGGGGCACGAUUUUUUUCCCAGAUCACACGAUCAAUAAUAUACUCGGCGGAUCAAUCCUCGGACAGGAGUAGGGUAUUACUUCUUGAUUAAGAAGGCCUGAACCUGUAUAAAAUUCCUUGUCUUUAAACCCAUCCACUUUUGCAGCUUGAUAGCCACCCCCUUUUAGUAUUACCGAAAUCUUGUUUCGACAAGCGGUUAUAAAUCCACUUUUCAAAAUGUAAGUAUCGAUUGAACCAUUUGCCAUAUCAAUGUUAAUUCAAUCUUAUCUUGUCACCGAAACAAGACGCUCCGCGUAACUUGAAGUUAAAAUUUUCAUAUUUGAAGGCCUGGUCGCGGAAAUAUCAAUUUAUAAGUUAAAAACAUUAAGCAUUAUUGCCUCAAUAAAAUUCAUAUAUGCUUAAUAGUCCACGUUAAUUCCCAUGCAUAUCAGUUUCAUUUGUUUUAACCUAAAGUCACAAAAUAUAGCUGUUGCUCUAUCCUGAGAGUGAAUAGGUAGGCAUUUUGUUCUUUACUGGUAUCGUUGAUGACCGCUGUGAUACAAUCGGACCAUGGUUUGAUGCUAGCAAGGGGCUAUUUUCACUUAUGUUCUGCCUCCUAAAUGUCCUUUCGUUCUUACAUCUAGUACCGUGAGAAAAAUCUAGCUAGUUCUAUAGGCAAAUCGUUGCCAAUACGUGCUAGCCGAACUGUUGUGAGAAGCAAUGCCUCCUAAGUCACGAUUUCGUUCCCUUUCGUGAUUUUUUGUUUCUAACGUGUUUUUUUAACUCCUCUGCAAAAUAAACGCAAGCUAAUCUUUCAGAUUUUUCACCAAAGUGGUCAUAAAAUUGAUGACGUUCUUAAAGGCUAUCAUAAGAUUUUUGUCACGGAAUGUCUAAACUGUUGUAGUAUUAGACAUAUUGUCGUAAAGGCACUUUACUACAUAUCUCAUUUGAACGUAUGCAGUUAUUGAUAACUAAUAUAUUUGUCAUAACUCACUUUACACAUACAAAUAUAUGUCUAGAUAUAUCAUUAAAGUUCCACGCGCCCUUGACAUGUAAAGUGCAUUUGUAAAACAAUAGCUUACAAUACAUAACAAAAUUAGUUUGAAAAGGACAGCAAUCCAUGUCACUGUCACGUCCUGAUAAAUUCAUCCCGAAAUAAAAAUCAUUCCCUAAAAGGAAUAAUAGAAUAAAUUAAAAUUCGAAAAGAAAUUGGCAAACACUAAAAUACGUACAAGAAAAAUUCGAAUGUGGCCCGGAGAAUUUUUGUUAAAUUCUCCUUGCUCUAAAAUGAGCCCUCAAAUUUUACUUGAAUUUUCAGAGCACCGGAAAUAUUUAUUAAGCAACAAAAACAAUUAUCAAAGUUUAAUAAAAAGAAAACCUAAAAAUAAUCCUCCUUUUCCUUUGGGCCAAGUCUAGCCCAAAGCCUCCCUCUCUCUCCCCCGGCCCGCGGCCGAAGUCCUUCCCUCCUCCCUUUCUUUUUCCCUCCCCCUCCUGGCCCACUCCCUCCUCCUCCCUCUCCCUCCCGGGCUGCCUCUCCCUCCUCUCCUCCUGGGCCGCCUCCGGGCCCAAGCCGAGAGGCGCCCUCCCGCCCGUGCCGCGCACGUGCGAGCGCUGACCGCGCGCCCGCGUGGGGCCCACGCGCCAGGUCGUUGUCCUCCUCCCGCCCAGCCUCCUCCUCUCUCCUCCGUGAACCCUAGCCAUUUCCUCCCUCAAAUCCGCGCGAUUCAAACCGGGAAUUCCAAAAUUGAUUAGGGGGAAUUAAUCCCCUUUCCCUCGUCUCUCUUUCCCCCUCAAUUCCCCCUUGAAUGGCGCCCCCAAUCGCCGGGAACGGACGCGCCAACUCCGGCCGCUUUCCAUGGUCGCCGGCCGCCAUUUCCGCCGCCGUUCCCCGCUCCUCCCGUGCUCAGCUCGCUUCCCUCCGCUAUAAAACGGAAUCCCCUCGCUCCGUUCUAUCGUUUUAGCCCCCUCCCGCGAUCUCCUGUGGUCCCUAGCCACCUCCCCGCCGUCGUCCCCUCUCUCCCGUGCCACCGGCCGUCUUCAGCCGCCCCUGCCGCCGCGUUAGCACGCCGGCCGGCCGUGCCGUCGCCUCCUCCAGCGUCGCAGCCGCCUCCUCUUCGCCGGCCUGCCCUCUGUUUCCCGCGAAGACCUCCGGAAGUGCAUCCCCGCCGGCAACAGUGGCGUUGCCGCCACUGUUCCGCCUCCAGCCGCCUCUGCCGCGUCCCCUGUGCGCCGGCCGACGUCGCCACCACCUCUCCCGGCACCGGAACGCCAUCCUCUUCCCCGGCCAAGCCACGGCGUCGCCCGUAUUUCGUCGGAUCGCCGUCGCGCGCACCGCCUCUCCCUCGGUCUCGUCGGCACCCACUCCGGCAGCCCCUUUUGCCGUGCCAGUGCGCCGGCCGACGUCGCCGUCUCCACCUCCGGCAUCGCAGCGGCAAGGUCGCCCUCGGCCUCGCCUCCCCUUCGACCGAACCCCUCCGCGGUCCAUCGUCGUCGUCUCCGUUCGUCCUUGUUGACGACUCCUCCGGUCGGUCGUUCGUCCUCGCCGGCUCGUCGUCUCGCUGCGCCGCCACCCUCGUCGUCAUCGUAGCAGCGUGUUCCGCACCGUCCUCGUCUCUGUGCAGCUGCUGCCGGCUGCCCUCAUCGCCUCCUCGCCGGUUCCUGUCGUCGUCCUCUCGUCGUUCCCGGUCGUCGUGGUGUUCGUCCCUCCGUCAAGCCAUUCUCGUCUGUCGUCCGCGUCCGUCAAGUGUGCCUCUGCAGCCCCGUCGUCGUCUUCGUCCUCGCCUCCGCGUCACCAAGCGUUGCGCCGGCCGCGUCUCGCCUUCGUCCAAGGAUCGCCGCCGAAGUCGUCCCCUCGCCUUUCAUCUCCGUCAUUCCUGGCCGUCUCCGCCGCGCCCGUUCGUCGUUGUCGUUCCCUCGCCUCGUCGCGUGGUGGUAAGGAUCUCUCCUUCGCUGCCCCGUCCUCGUCCUUUCGGUGUUGCCCGUGCCCGUUGUGCGGUUGUCGACCCCGGUACCCGUGUACCGGUGUCGGUAGUCGUUCGCUUGUGCGUGUGGUGACCGUGUUAGUGUGCCCGCUCGGUAGCCGCGUGGUUUCCACGUGUGCAGCCCGUGUGGUGUCUAGUGGAGUCCGUUUGUCGGCCACUCGCCUCAGUUGACACACGGGAUCUGCUUCUGUCGACCCGUGGACCGUCUCUGUGUACUCGGUCUACCGUGGUCCUUUAGGUUGACAUGUGGGGUCCGCAUGUCAACGGCACAGCCUUCCUGUCUUUUCCAGGCUAGCGCUUACACAUGUUUUAUAGUUGCAAAACCUAAUUAUAAUAAUCCGCAAAUCUCCAUGUAACAGCAUUAAACUUCGGAUGAUCAUAUCUUGGUCAUACGAGCUCCGAAUCGAUCCGUUCAAGUCUCCUAAUGUUUCUUAUAACCUAAAGAACCCUGUGCUUUCUUUUUAUUAUUGUUAUUGCUUCUUUAUAGGCUUGUAGCUUUGCUUGUGUGCUUCGCGUAGUCUUCGUCGUUCCGGAGGUUCCCGAAGCGUGGUUUGCGGUCGUCGCCGAAGGUUCGGAAGGCCGUUAUCUCUGAGCAAGGCAAGUCACAUCAUCCUUGAACAUAUUGAAUCCCAGUUUAUAAAAUUAUUUUGAUUUAAAUUAUUGCAUUAUCGCUUUAUUUAAAUUCCCGCGUUAUCACUGUUUUAUUUAGCCAUGCCUAUUUACCUUUGUUAUGACCUUAUUAUUAUUGCUAUUGUUAUUAUUAGCUUGUUCACCCUAGGAUAAACAAAACCCCAACUAGUGGGUACUCUAUUCAUGGUUCCACUAGUAUGAAUUUAGGUAGAUGCUUCGCUGAUUAAUUAGGCAACUUUAGGUGGUUUUAUAACUUUAGACUUUGGGAAUUCUCAUAUCAUUUGGACACUAUGGAAUGGUUGGCUUAUGUUGGAAUUGGACACACACCUCCCCCUCUAUUCAAAACCCCCAAAAUGGUUUUAGGCUGGGCUCGAGGUGCGUGGUUGGGUUUUGUUAGUCGUUCCUCGGGUACUAUAAGGAUUAAGCUCAGGCCUCUGUUGCAAAGCACUACCGUACUUCCACAUGUCUAGCGGGUAAGGCUUAGUUUGUGGCUCAGUCUGGUUAUAAACAAAAGUACACGGAUGGAGAUGGACGAAGUCGGGGGUCGAUGGACAUCUCUAGGACAAAUGAAGGCUACACGAGCUGUGGCCCGGUAGUCGAGAUGUCAUGGCACAGGGCUGGUGUCCUGCUGCUAGGGGCUCAAUCCUGCCUGCCUGUCCCAGAGGUUCCGGCCGUAGGUGGGGUUGGGUCGGUACUCUUGUUUAUGGCUAGGAUGGGUUGGGAACUAUGUCACGUCUUCCGUCCGUAUACCGUGGUGGUAUGUGGCACGUGGUUACACGUGAGGAAGAUGUAUCUUGUGGGUAAAGAUGUACACCUCUGAUCAGAGUAUAACCUAUUCGAAUAGCCGCGCCCUCGGUUAUGGGCAAGCCUAGCAAUGUACCCAAGUUAGUGUUUUAAUUCUUAAAAUGUGCUUAACAACUAAAAUGUGGAAUGGUUGGCCUGGGUUGGCUUGGGACGAGCUGGGACCCAGGGUCGGGUUGCCAGUUCGGUCUGAAUCAUCGUAGGCCUUGGGUUAAGGCAGGUUCGUGAGGGUUCACGGCCUUGAUUAAUAACACUGUGUAACUCUAGGAUCGUCUUUAUAAAAUGGCUUUGGGUAACUAAGUGACUUUUAAAUGCUGUUUUCUACAAAACUUAACCCCUAUAUUAUUACCCCUUGUACCCUCUUGCAUUAAUCAUGCAUCUGCCGGUGUGGCUUGCUGAGUACUGUGGUUGUACUCAUUCUUGCUCAAUCUUCCCCCCCCCCCUUCAGUAAGAGAAGCUUUGGAGAAGAAGUCUUAGGUGGAGUCCUGGCUUAUACCCCAGUUGAGCGCCUGUGAAGAUGCAGCCGUAGGCCCGCUAGUCCGCUGCUGGUUAUUUUUUUAUUGUCAGGCCUUAAGUGCCUUUGUAAUAAUGUAAAUAUUAUCGAUAUAAUAAAGAUGUGUCUUUUAUAUCAUGUUUGUGUGGUGUACCCCGGCUUUUUCUGGGACGGGGAUUAAUACACUAGCGUUCGGGAAAAUGUAUUUUUCUCGGUCGCGACAAGCUGGUAUCAGAGCCAUCUCGUCUGUAGGAUAAGCCAAGUGGAUAAUACCUAAGGACAUAUUUUAUAAAUGAAACUAUUUGCGAAAGUUCCUUUUUCCUCCUUUCCCCUGUGCUAUUUGCAAAAUGUUUACUCUUUCUUCCUUCUUCAAAUUUCAACUAGUACUAGAUGGUCAGCUUUGCGGAGAAGAAGAUAUCGUCAAUUGUCUGCCGAAGCUCCGGAAGACUGCAGGAUCCGCUAGCGAAGUGGAGGAAGCAGUGAAGCUAGCUGUGAAGAAGCAGUGAAGAUCUUAGAGAACCCGUCGCAGAACCCAAGCCACCCUCUAGGGCAGACUCGUUUGUCGUGUGUUUCCUUGCUUGUGUGUGUAGCGCGUGGUUUGCAUCGGUGGGUUGUGAUGUAACCAUGCUAGGUUGUUUGCUUAAUCAACUUGCAGAAUAAGUGAAACAAACAACACAUCAACAAGAAGAGUUAGUUCCUUUAAGGUCCUGUCUCUAGUUCUGGUCUAUUCUUUCCUGGCUUGUUUCCUCUCUCACCUCAAUCCCUGUAACAGAUGUUUAACAGAGAAAAAGGAAAGAAUGUCAGCGGGUAUGCCUCAACUAACUCAAGUUUUCAACUCAAUCCACCACUGUCCUCAAGAGAGUUAACAAGGGCACACCCUUGGUCCAUUCCAAGCAUGCUGCUGAGUUCACAGCUACCAUUGGUUGGAAGUCAAGACCAAAAUCAGUAUGUGUUUGAUCGAGCAUUUGCCACCCAGGUCAAUGAGCUUCCAAUGCCAGAAGAGCAUGUCCCCUUUUGUCAUGAUUGUAGAGAACAAGGACACUAUGCCCUGAAUUGUCCAUGGGUAUAUGCCAAACAAGCCUCUUCCUUUGGUUUAGCAGGGCAGACAUCGCUAAACCAGCCUCCUCGCACCAAGUCAAGCUUGCAGCCUAGUGUGCAAAGUAGAGAGCCCAAUGGAGAGAAUCCAUUGAAUCCCGGGAAAUGCUUUCCUCCUAGCCUUUCGUACCACGUGGGGUCACAUACUAAGCAAGCCAAAGGCAAGAAGAGUAAGAAUCAGAAGAGAAAAGCACCGAUGCGAACUGAAGAAGAAGUACGUAAGAUGACUAUUACCAACACCGAAUGGCCUCCAGUAGGGAUAACUAUUCCUAGACGUCAAAGAGGAAAUACCUUUCGAGGUGCACGACAGUUGACCCAGCACCUCCUAAGCCAUGGUGGCAGAGUAUCUGAUAGUGAAGGGUCAGAUCAAGUCUCCUCGGAUGAUGAAGAUGAGUCUCCCCGACAUCUCGGCGAGGAAGAGAUGGAAUCAAAGGCAUGCACCUGUUGUGGAGAAAUUGGACACGUUGCUAGCAUGUGUCUCACACUCUGCCCUCAUUGUGAAGAAGACCAUCCACCAGGGGAGUGUCCCACCCGCAAGAUGACAUGUUUUCUGUGCGAAGGUACAAACCAUGUGCCCAAGGAUUGCCAACUCAGUGUGUUGUUGACCAAGACCGUAGAAAUCCAACGAACAACCCUACGAUUGUCUCAUCAGCUAGUCAGCUCCAACAGCAACAUCGACGAUAUCAUCCAUAGCACCAAUGUUCCUCCUGCUCCACCUAACUCUGCAAUAAAUCAUAGCAAUAAUACCUUCAGCACCAACCAUUCUCUGCACCGACAGCCUCAGCAAAGAAUUGUCGUCGAUGGAAGAAGUUGUGUCUCUCCCCGACCUACUCCAGGCCGAGCAAAGGGCAAUCAACCUCCGGAGGGCGAUACCAAGCAGAAGACCGUCAUCCGCUUCAAACAGCAAUCAGAAGGAAGCUUCUCCUGUGAAUGAUAGCAAUAUGCAGUCCUAUCACAUCAUCACAGAACCAAUCAAGGAUGCAGUCACUAGAACAAUGCCAGCUAUAUCUCUCCAGAAUCAGAAUGAGUAUCCAUGUUUGUGAUUUUCAGUUCGCUACUUAUCACUGUAAUCGGGAGUUUGCAGCAAUCAUGUAAUAAAUAAAUAUAUUCAUGUUUAUAAACAGUGAGUUUGCUAUGUUUAUGGAUGAUUCAUGUUGAGGAUGCAAUGUACCGAUGUUAAGCACCUUCCCUUUUUGUUUAAGGUAGGGCCUUGUAUUCAUGUAAUAAGGGAGAAAUGUGUAACAAAAACAAGUUCUAUGAGGACUCUUUCGGAAGAUGCUGAUAUGGGAUUAUGUGUUUACUGUCAAAGGAGACCUAGGGUCUCAUUUCAGAGGAACCAUGUUCUAACCUCGAGUUAAUAACCAACCUGCUGAUGGAAAAGAAAAUCAAGCGAGUAACCAGAGAGACAUUUGUUUGGACUAAGAGUUUCAGAUUUGUCUUUUUCGGAUCAAAGGCAACGACAGUCAGUACAGCUUUUGAUGAACUACUUCAAGGUUUCACUGAAAGGCAGUAGGCCAAAGGACCUCAUUGCCACCAGAAGUGUCCGCAACCCACAUUAAAGAGUACCACCUGUUAGAGAUAGGCCGAAAGAUGAUUGAUAAAAGAUAUUGGCAAAUAUGUUCUCUAGCAGGAAGGAAGUAGGCCGAAAGAUGAUUGAUAAAGGAUAAACAGAAACAUGCUCUGCAUCACUCAAGGAAGACUCCUGAUAGCAAUCACCCUGCAACAGUCACCUUGUCAUUGAGGUAGAAAAAAAAAUCGUGAGUAAGCAAUACGACCUAGGUAAAAGUGUUUCUUUGAAGGCAAGGAAUGAAAUCUUUAACUCGGUAUCAGAUGCUACACGGAGUGAAAAGUGCAAGCACCGGUUACCAGGCAAUGCCAUGUCUUGGGAGAUGAUCCAAUGGGAAGGAACUCAUCAAGGUCGAAGGUGUAAAGGAAUACGUUGAAUGCUAAAUAAUGACAACAUGAAGAUAAUAGUGGGAUAAGUUGGUUCUGUUGAGAAACAUAAUUCAAAGGCAAAGUUAUUGACCCUUGCAUCAAAUAGCAGAAGUAGCUAGCACCUGGAGACCAGGAAAGCUAAUAUGAGGUAGUUGGUGGCAAGUUAGAAGUAAAUGACAAGUAUGAUAUUCUUAUGAUGGCAAACAUGGUAUCCUAGUAAUGACAAGCUAGUGUUGACGCAUGACAUGAAGUGGUAACUUGUAUGAGGUUGACUCCAAAGAUAUGAGUUAUAAGAAGUUCUGGAACUGAAGCCCCAUCUUCCAAUGCCGCAGCCCAGUCGAAGUCAGCUAGAGGUGCAACCAGGGAAAAGUCAGGUGAAGAGAAGAUUCCAUCUAUAACAGGAGAUCGAGCCAAGCAGUCCAGAGUGGAGAAGUUUUGCUAGGCAAGUUUGUUAUAGAAGACGCGACGGAAGAAGUCAGACAAGAAGAGAAGACCGCGCAACCUAUCUUCUUGCUAGCCACCUCGAAUCUCGGGGACGAGAUUCUUGUAAGGGGGGUGGAUUUGUCAUGUCCUGAUAAAUUCAUCCCGAAAUAAAAAUCAUUCCCUAAAAGGAAUAAUAGAAUAAAUUAAAAUUCGAAAAGAAAUUGGCAAACACUAAAAUACGUACAAGAAAAAUUCGAAUAUGGCCCGGAGAAUUUUUGUUAAAUUCUCCUUGGUCUAAAAUGAGCCCUCAAAUUUUACUUGAAUUUUCAGAGCACCGGAAAUAUUUAUUAAGCAACAAAAAAAAUUAUCAAAGUUUAAUAAAAAGAAAACCUAAAAAUAAUCCUCCUUUCCUUUGGGCCAAGUCUAGCCCAAAGCCUCCCUCUCUCUCCCCCGGCCCGCGGCGGAAGUCCUUCCCUCCUCCCUUUCUUUUUCCCUCCCCCUCCCGGCCCACUCCCUCCUCCUCCCUCUCCCUCCCGGGCUGCCUCUCCCUCCUCUCCUCCUGGGCCGCCUCCGGGCCCAAGCCGAGGGGCGCCCUCCCGCCCGUGCCGCGCACGUGCGCGCGCUGACCGCGCGCCCGCGUGGGGCCCACGUGCCAGGUCGUCUUCCUCCUCCCGCCCGGCCUCCUCCUCUCUCCUCCGUGAACCCUAGCCAUUUCCUCCCUCAAAUCCGCGCGAUUCAAACCGGGAAUUCCAAAAUUGAUUAGGGGGAAUUAAUCCCCUUUCCCUCCUCUCUCUUUCCCCCUUAAUUCCCCCUUGAAUGGCGUCCCCAAUCGCCGGGAAUGGACGCGCCAACUCCGGCCGCUUUCCAUGGCUGCCGGCCGCCAUUUCCGCCGCCGUUCCCCACUCCUCCUGUGCUCGGCUCGCUUCCCUCCGCUAUAAAACGGAAUCCCCUCGCUCCGUUCUAUCGUUUUAGCCCCCUCCAGCGAUCUCCCGUGGUCCCUAGCCACCUCCCCGCCGUCGUCCCCUCUCUCCCGUGCCGCCGGCCGUCUUCAGCCGCCCCUGCCGCCGCGUUAGCACGCCGGCCGGCCGUGCCGUCGCCUCCUCCAGCGUCGCAGCCGCCUCCUCUUCGCCGGCCUGCCCUCUGUUUCCCGCGAAGACCUCCGGAAGUGCAUCCCCGCCGGCAACAGUGGCGUUGCCACCACUGUUCCGCCUCCGGCCGCCUCUGCCGCGUCCCCUGUGCGCCGGCCGACGUCGCCACCACCUCUCCCGGCACCGGAACGCCAUCCUCUUCCCCGGCCAAGCCACGGCGUCGCCCGUAUUUCGUCGGAACGCCGUUGCGCGCGCCGCCUCUCCCUCGGUCUCGUCGGCACCCACUCCGGCAGCCCCUUUCGCCGUGCCAGUGCACCGGCCGACGUCGCCGUCUCCACCUCCGGCAUCGCAGCGGCAAGGUCGCCCUCGGCCUCGCCUCCCCUUCGACCGAACCCCUCCGCGCUCCAUCGUCGUCGUCUCCGUUCAUCCUCGUUGACGACUCCUCCGGUCGGUCGUUAGUCCUCGCCGGCUCGUCGUCUCGCUGCGCCGCCACCCUCGUCGUCAUCGUACCGGCGUGUUCCGCGCCGUCCUCGUCUCUGUGCAGCUGCUGCCGUCUGCCCUCAUCACCUCCUCGCCGGUUCCUGUCGUCGUCCUCUCGUCAUUCCUGGUUGUCGUGGCGUUCGUCCCUCCGUCAAGCCGUUCUCGUCCGUCGUCCGCGUCCGUCAAGUGUGCCGCUGCAGCCCCGUCGUCGUCUUCGUCCUUGCCUCCGCGUCGCCAAGCGUUGCGCCGGCCGCGUCUCGCCUUCGUCCAAGGAUCGCCGCCGAAGUCGUCCCCUCGCCUUUCGUCUCCGUCAUUCCUGGCCGUCUCUGCCGCGCCCGUUCGUCGUUGUCGUUCCCUCGCCUCGUCGCGUGGUGGUAAGGAUCUCUCCUUCGCUGCCCCGUCUUCGUCCUUUCGGUGUCGCCCGUGCCCGUUGUGCGGUUGUCGACCCCGGUACUCGUGUACCGGUGUCGGUAGUCGUUCGCUUGUGCGUGUGGUGACCGUGUUAGUGUGCCCGCUCGGUAGCCGCGUGGUUUCCACGUGUGCAGCCCGUGUGGUGUCUAGUGGAGUCCGUUUGUCGGCCACUCGCCUCGGUUGACACACGGGAUCUGCUUCUGUCGACCAGUGGACCAUCUCUGUGUACUCGGUCUACCGUGGUCCUUUAGGUUAUCAUGUGGGGUCCGCAUGUCAACGGCGCAGCCUUCCUGUCUUUUCCAGGCUAGCGCUUACACAUGUUUUAUAGUUGCAAAACCUAAUUAUAAUAAUCCGCAAAUCUCCAAGUAACAGCAUUAAACUUCGGAUGAUCAUAUCUUGGUCAUACGAGCUCCGAAUCGAUCCGUUCAAGUCUCCUAAUGUUUGUUAUAACCUAAAGAACCCUGUGCUUUCUUUUUAUGUAUUGUUAUUGCUUCUUUAUAGGCUUGUAGCUUUGCUUGUGUGCUUCGCGUAGUCUUCGUCGUUCCGGAGGUUCCCGAAGCGUGGUUUGCGGUCGUCGCCGAAGGUUCGGAAGGCCGUUAUCUCUGAGCAAGGCAAGUCACAUCAUCCUUGAACAUAUUGAAUCCCAGUUUAUAAAAUUAUUUUGAUUUAAAUUAUUGCAUUAUCGCUUUAUUUAAAUUCCCGCGUUAUCACUGUUUUAUUUAGCCAUGCCUAUUUACCUUUGUUAUGACCUUAUUAUUAUUGCUAUUGUUAUUAUUAGCUUGUUCACCCUAGGAUAAACAAAACCCCAACUAGUGGGUACUCUAUUCAUGGUUCCACUAGUAUGAAUUUAGGUAGAUGCUUCGCUGAUUAAUUAGGCAACAUUAGGUGGUUUUAUAACUUUAGACUCUGGGAAUUCUCAUAUCAUUUGGACACUAUGGAAUGGUUGGCUUAUGUUGGAAUUGGACACACACCUCCCCCUCUAUUCAAAACCCCCAAAAUGGUUUUAGGCUGGGCUCGAGGUGCGUGGUUGGGUUUUGUUAGUCGUACCUCGAGUACUAUAAGGAUUAAGCUCGGGCCUCUGUUGCAAAGCACUACCGUACUUCCACAUGUCUAGUGGGUAAGGCUUAGUUUGUGGCUUAGUCUGGUUAUAAACAAAAGUACACGGAUGGAGAUGGACGAAGUCGGGGGUCGAUGGACAUCUCUAGGACUAAUGAAGGCUACACGAGCUGCGGCCCGGUAGUCGAGAUGUCAUGGCACAGGGCUGGUGUCCUGCUGCUAGGUGCUCAAUCCUGCCUGCCUGUCCCGGAGGUUCCGGCCGUAGGUGGGGUUGGGUCGGUACUCUUGUUUAUGGCUAGGAUGGGUUGGGAACUAUGUCACGUCUUCCGUCCGUAUACCGUGGUGGUAUGUGGCACGUGGUUACACGUGAGGAAGAUGUGUCUUGUGGGUAAAGAUGUACACCUCUGAUCAGAGUAUAACCUAUUCGAAUAGCCGCGCCCUCGGUUAUGGGCAAGCCUAGCAAUGUACCCAAGUUAGUGUUUUAAUUCUUAAAAUUUGCUUAACAACUAAAAUGUGGAAUGGUUGGCCUGGGUUGGCUUGGGACGAGAUGGGACCCAGGGUCGGGUUGCCAGUUCAGUCUGAAUCAUCGUAGGCCUUGGGUUAAGGCAGGUUCGUGAGGGUUCACGGCCUUGAUUAAUAACACUGUGUAACUCUAGGAUCGUCUUUAUAUAAUGGCUUUGGGCAACUAAGUGACUUUUAAAUGCUGUUUUCUACAAAACUUAACCCCUAUAUUAUUACCCCUUGUACCCUCUUGCAUUAAUCAUGCAUCUGCCGGUGUGACUUGCUGAGUACUGUGGUUGUACUCAUUCUUGCUCAAUCUUCCCCCCCCCUUCAGUAAGAGAAGCUUUGGAGAAGAAGUCUUAGGUGGAGUCCUGGCUUAUACCCCAGUUGAGCGCCUGUGAAGAUGGAGCCGUAGGCCCACUAGUCCGCUGCUGGUUAUUUUUUAAUUGUCAGGCCUUAAGUGCCUUUGUAAUAAUGUAAAUAUUAUCGAUAUAAUAAAGAUGUGUCUUUUAUAUCAUGUUUGUGUGGUGUACCCCGGCUUUUCCUGGGACGGGGAUUAAUACACUAGCGUUCGGGAAAAUGUAUUUUUCUCGGUCGCGACAGUCACACUGAGAUAUAAAGUGAGUGACGAGUCAUAACAUUAUCUAUCUUGCUAACCAUCAAGUAUCUGUGAUGGGCAAUAAACUUACUUUGACGAUGGUAUGCAGGGACAUCUGUGGAGGCACAUCACGUAACAUCCAAACGACAUGACUCACUCUGAUCCUAAUAGAAUAUCCAACCAAAACAAACACUCUAAAGCAACCGAUAAGGAAUUCAAAGAAAACCCAUCCAUCGCAUCUAUAAAUAGACAAGCACAAUGUAAACCCCCUUCAUCCUUCUCACAACUCAAACAUUACAGCGAAAGCAUAACAACUAGAAUCCCACCACAACGAAGAUCAUUUUCUUCUUUGCUCUCCUUGCUAUUGCUGCAUGCAGCGCCUCUGCGCAGUUUGAUGCUGUUACUCAAGUUUACAGGCAAUAUCAGCUGCAGCCGCGUCUCAUGUGUCACGACCGGAAAUAACCCAACGGGCGUUCCUUACGUGAGUGCAUUAUUCCUUGUCCCAGGAGGCAAGGUACACCAAAAGUUGAUACAGUUCAGAGUUCAACAAGCGGAAGCGUAAAUAGUUAAUUUAUUACAUGGGCAGCGAAGGCCCAGCACACACAAAGACAAACGAGAAACAGCGGAAGACUAGGGCGACGACCACAGGCGCUUGACGGUAGGCACGAGCUAGACACCAAAACCUUCAUCUUCCAGAGACUCCUCUUCUGGGUUUGGGAAAAAAAUUGAGCAAGACUGAGUACAACCACCGUACUCAACAAGACACACCCACAAGUGCAUAAUAAAUGCAAGGGAGUACAAGGGAGUUAUAAUAUAAAGGGUUAGGGUUGCAGUAAACAGCAUUUAAAGAUACUUAGUUGCUCAAAGCUAUUUUGUAAACACGAUUCUAGAACUAUACAAUAUUAUUUAUCAAGGCCGUGAACCCACACGAACCUGCCUUAACCCAAGGCCUACGAUGAUUCAGACCGAACCGGCAACCCGACCCUGGGUCCAAGCUCGUCCCAAGCCAACCCAGGCCAACCAUUCCACAUUUUAGUUGUUAAGCAGGUUUUAAGAAUUAAAACACUAACUUGGGUACAUUGCUCGGCUUGCCCAUAACCGAGGGCGCGGCUAUUCGAAUAGAUUAUACUCUGAUCAAAGGUGUACAUCUUUACCCACAAGACACAUCUUCCUCACGUGCAACCACGUGGCACAUACCACCACGGUAUACAGACGGAAGACGUGACAUAGUUUCCAACCCAUCCUAGCCAUAGACAAGAGUACCGACCCAAUCCCACCUACGGCCGGAACCCCCGGGACAGGUAGGCAGGACUGAGCCCCUAGCAGCAGGACACCGGCCCUGUGCCAUGACAUCUCGACUACCGGGCCGCAGCUCGUGUAGCCUUCAUUUGCCCUGGAGAUGUCCAUCGACCCCCGACUUCGUCCAUCUCCAUCCGUGUACUUUUGUUUAUAACCAGACUGAGCCACAAACUAAGCCUUACCCACUAGACAUGUGGAAGUACGCUAGUACUUUGCAACAGAGGCCCGAAGACCGGUCCUUAUAUGGCCGAGGUGCUACUAUCAAAACCAUGCACCCCGAGCCCAGCCUAAAACCAUUGUUGGGGAUUUUGAAUAGAGGGGGCGGUGUGAAUCCAAUUCCACAAUACUCCAACAAUUCCAAAGUGUCCAGGUGAUAUGAAUAUCCCAAAGUCUAGAGUUGUAAAACCGCCUAAUGUUACCUAAUUAAAUAGCGAAGCAUCUACCUAAAAUCAUACUAGUGGUACCAUGAGUAGAGUGUCCACUAGUUGGGGUUUUGUUUAUUCUAGGGUGAACAAGGAAAUAAUAACAAUAACAAUAAUAAGGUCAUAACAAAGGUAAAUAGGCAUGGCUAGAUAAAACAGUGAUAACGCGGGAAUUUAAAUAAAGCGAUAAUGCAAUAAUUUUAAAGCAACAUAAUUUUAUAAACUGGGAUUCAAUAUGUUCAAGGAUGAUGUGACUUGCCUUGCUCGCUUUCCCAAACGCCGGCUUCAACUUCCGAAGCUGCAGCGUCUACACGACCAACGGAAAAGAAAAGGCUUUUACUCUAAUAAACUCCAUAUAACAAGCAGAAACAAAGCACAAAAAUGGGUUCUUGACUUCUUAAGGAAAAAUUAGAGACUUGAACGGUCCAAUUCCGAGUUCAAAUGGCCAAGUUAUGGCCAUUUGAAGUUUAUAUGCUCUUUAAAUGAAUAUUUGCGAAUUUCUUCAUUUAAAUUUUAAUUUAAAAUGGAUUUAUUGCGUCAGCCGAGGGGAGGGGCGCGCGGACCGGGUCCACGGGGGUGGGGCCCACGCGGCAGCCCCACGGUCCACGGUGGACCGGGCGCACCCGGGCUCACACCGGCCGGCGCCGUGGGUCCCACGCGUCAGCCGCACCCGAGGACGCGGGCGGCUGACAGCCGGGCCCCACGCGGCAGCCGCACGGUGCGCCCGAAGGCGGCCACGCCGGCGCAGCGGCGGGAGGCGGCGCGCCCUCACCCCUAUGGUCGCCGGCGGCGGCCAUAGGCACGGCGGAGCGGCGGCCGAGAGAGGGGAAGGGAAGGGGGAAAAGAAGCGGCGGUCCACGGCUCACCCCGGGUCGACGGCGACGACGGAAACGGCGACCGGAGCGGAGGAAGGCGGCGGCGCGGCUCGGGUGGACGGGGUCGACGGUGCUCCGGCGGUCGGCGAGCGAAACGGAGGGGUGGACGAGGUCGCCGGGGAUGCGGUGGAGCCGAAGGUGGCGACGCCGAGGCGGGAGGUGGUCCGGGGCGACGACGGCGGCGGACCGGAGCUCGGCGGUGACGGCGGAGAGAGAGAACGACGGCGCGAGCUCGAUUCCGACGGGGAGAGAGGGCGGCGAGUGGCGGAAACGGUGGAGGGAGGCACGGGGAAGGUUUAUAUAGGAUUGGGAGGGGGAGGGAGCUGCCGGACGAGGGGGAAACGGGCGCGGAAGAUCCGGUCGCCAUUGAUGGCGCCGGCGAGGUUAGGGGAGAGGUUUCCAAACGAAUCCGAGGGAGAGAGGGAGGGAAAAAUGGGGGGAAAGAGGGAGGGAAUCACGGGGAAUAUUUCCCCCCACUUUAUUGCGCGCGUGGAUGGCGGGAGGCGGCGGGAUUCGCGGCGGCGGCGGCGCUAGGGCACGGGCGAGGCGGCGGGAGCGGCGGGAGGAAGGGGAUGACGGGUGGGCCCCACCCGUCAGCGAGGGUGGCGGGCGGGCCCGCCCGUCAGCGGCACGCGCGCGGGGAGGAGGCCGAAUGGGCCGCGGAGGAGAGGAGAGAGAGGGAGAGAGAUGGGCCGAGCCGGCCCAAGAGGGGGAGGAGGGGGAAAAGGACUUUUUUUAGGGUUUUUCUUUUUAUAAAACCUUUUUAACUUUGUUUAUUUCUUCUUAAUUAUUAUUUGUGCUCUGAAAAUUCCACUAAAAUUUAUUUACGCAUUUUAGGCUUUUAGGAAAUAUACAAAAAUCCUCCAAGCCUUAUUUGACUUUUAACUUUGCACAUUUUAAUUGUUGGAGGCUUUCACACGGAUUUUAAUUAUUCUAGGCAUAAUUUCGGGGAUGUAUUUUAGAGUCGUUUUGGGACGCGACAUCAUGCUGCAGCAACAGAUGCUUAGCCCAAGCGGUGAGUUCGUAAGGCAGCAGUGCAGCACAGUGGCAACCCCCUUCUUCCAAUCACCCGUGUUUCAACUGAGAAACUGCCAAGUCAUGCAGCAGCAGUGCUGCCAACAGCUCAGGAUGAUCGCGCAACAGUCUCACUGCCAGGCCAUUAGCAGUGUUCAGGCGAUUGUGCAGCAGCUACAGCUACAACAGUUUGCUGGCGUCUACUUCGAUCAGACUCAAGCUCAAGCCCAAGCUAUGUUGGCCCUAAACUUGCCGUCAAUAUGCGGUAUCUACCCAAGCUACAACACUGCUCCCUAUAGCAUUCCCACCGUCGGUAGUAUCUGGUACUGAAUUGUAGCAGUAUAGUAGUACAGGAGAGAAAAAUAAAGUCAUGCAUCAUCGUGUGUGACAAGUUGAAACAUCGGGGCGAUACAAAUCUUAAUAAAAAUGUCAUGCAAAUUUAAACAUAAUGCCUCUGUAAGGAUAAAUCCUAGUACAUUGUUGAAAUUAAUUAUCAUCACCGCCUACUAUGGUUGCAUUUACAACUUUACGAUGUGUUCCUACAUUUGGUUCUAAGCUACUAUGGCUACUCGACGUGAACGGAGUGUGUUAAGCAGGUCAAUCUUUUCAUUUCGAUCAGAACAAAGUCAAAACGCAUGUGGCAAAUAGUAUAUACCCUACAACGUAAUCCUACACCAUAGGCAAAUCAUUGCCAAUACGUGCUAGCCGAACUGUUGUGAGAAGCAAUGCCUCCUAAGUCACGAUUCCGUUCCCUUUCGUGAUUUUUUCUUUCUAACGUGUUUUUUAACUCCUCGGCAAAAUAAACGCAAGCUAAUCUUUCAGAUUUUUCUCCAAAGUGGUCAUAAAAUCAAUGACGGCAAAAUAAACAUUGUUGAAAUUAAUUAUCAUCACCAUCUACUAUGGUUGCAUUUACAACUUUACGAUGUGUGCCUGCAUUCGGUUCUAAGCUACUAUGGCUACUUGUCGCGCCCGGAAAAAUACCUUUUCCAGAACGCUAGUGUGUUAAUCCCCGUCCCAGGAAAAGCCGGGGUACACCACACAAACAUGAUAUAAAAGACACAUCUUUAUAUAUCGAUAAUAUUUACAUUAUCACAAAGGCGCUUCAGGCCUGACAAUCAAAAAUAAACAGCAGCGGACUAGCGGGCCUACGGUUCCAUCUUCACAGGCGCUCAACUGGGGUAUAAGCCAGGACUCCACCAAGGACAUCUUCUCCAAAGCUUAUCUUACUGAAGGAGGGAAAGAUAGAGUAAGAAUGAGUACAACCACAGUACUCAGCAAGCCACACUGGGAGAUGCAUGAUUAAUGCAAGGGGGUACAAGGGGAUAAUAAUAAUAUGGUUGGAUUUUGCACUAAAGAGCAUUUAAAAGACACUUAGUCGCUCAAAGCUAUUUUGUAAACACGAUCCUAGAGCUACACAAUAUUAUUAAUCAAGACUGUGAACCCUCACGAACCUGCCUUAACCCAAAGCCUACGAUGAUUCGGACCGAACUGGCAACCCGACCUCGGUCCCAGCUCGUCCCAAGCCAACCCAGGCCAACCAUUCCAUAUUUUAGUUGUUAAGAAAAUUUUAAGAAUGAAACCACUAACUUGGGUACAUUGCCAGGCUUGCCCAUAUCCGAGGGCACGGCUGUUCGAAUAGAUUAUACUCUGAUCAGAGGUGUACAUCUUUACCCACAAGACACGCCUUUACUCUGCAUUCCAUUGCAAUUGGAACCCAUAAAAAAAACGUGACAUAACCCUUUACCCAUCCUAGCCGUGAACAAAAGCACCGACCCAACCCUGCCUACGGCCGAUAUCCCGGGACAGGCAGGCCAGGAUUGAGCCCCUAGCAACAGGAUCUAGACCGGGUGCGCCACACGCAUAGGGGUGAGACCACCCGUGUACUAGUCCAGUGCCAUGGCAUUUCGACUAACAGACACCAGCCCAUGUAGCCUUCAUUUGCCUAAACAUCUCGAUUACCGAUCCGCAGCUCGCGUAGCCUUCAUUUGCCUCAGAGAUAUCCAUCGUCGCAACGACUUCAUCCAUCUCUAUCCGUGUCCUUUUGUUCAGGACUAGACUGAGCACCGAGUUAAGCCUUACCCAUUAGACAUGUGGUUAGUACAGUAGUGCUUUGCAACAGAGGCCCGACCUUAAUCCUUAUAUUGGCCGGGGUGCUACUUCCCACAACUGGCAUGCACCCAAACCCCACCGGAAAACAGGUUUUAGGGGUUUUGAAAGAGGAAGAGAGGGGUAUGUCAUAUUCCACCAUAAGCCAACCGUUCCAUAGUAUCCAAGUGAUAUAAGAAUUCCCAAAGUCUAAAGUUAUAAUACCACCUAUUGUUGCCUAAUUAAUCAGCGAAGCAUCUACCUAAAUUCAUACUAGUGGAACCAUAAAUAUAGUACCCACUAGUUGAGGUUUUAUUUGCCUAGGGUAAGCAAGGUGAUAAUAACAAUUGCAAUAAUAAGGCUAUAACAAGGAUUAAUAGGUAAUGCUAAAUAAAACAGUGGUAACGCGGGAAUUUAAAUAAAGCAGUAAUGCAAUAAUUCAAAUCAAAAUAAUUUUAUAAAUUGGGAUUCAAUAUGCUGAAGGAUGAUGCGACUUGCCUUGCUCAGAGAGAACGGCCUUCCGAACCUUCGGCGACGACCGCGAACCACGCUUCGGGAACCUCCGGAACGACAGGAGCUACGCGAAGCACACAAGCAGAGCUAAACCCUAUAAAGAAGCAACAACAAUACAUAAAAAGAAAGCACAGGGUUCUUUAGGUUAUAACAAACAUUAGGAGAUUUGAAUGGUUCCAUUCAAAGUUCGUAUGACCAAGAUAUGAUCAUCCGAAGUUUAAUGUUGUUGCAUGGAGAUUUACGGAUUAUUGUAAUUAGGUUUUGCAACUAAAAUAUGUGUAAGCUCUAGCCUGGAAAAGACAGGAAGGCUGCGCUGUUGACAUCCGGACCCCACAUGUCAACCUAAGAGACCACAGUGGACCGGGUACACAAAGACGGUCCACGGGUCGACGGAAGCGGACCCCAUGUGUCAACCGAGGCGAGUGGCCAUCAAACGGACUCCACCAGACACCACGCGGGCUGCACACGUGGAAACCAUGCGGCUACCGAGCGGGCACACAAACACGGUCACCACACGCACCACGAACGACUACCGACACUGGUACACGGGUACCGGGGUUGACAACCGCACAACGGGCACGGGGCGACACCGAAAGGACGAGGACGAGGCAGCGAGAGGAGGCACCCUUACCACCACGCGAUGAGGCGUGGGAACAACGAUGGCGAAUGGGCACGGCGGAGACGGCUCGGGGACGAUGGAGGCGAAAGGGGAGGGAACGACUUCAGCGGCAAUCCUUGGACGAAGGCGAGACGCGGCCGGCGCAACGCUUGACGACGCGGAGCCGAGGACGAAGACGACGACGGGGCUGCAGCAACCUUGACGAAACGCGGGCGGUGAACACGAUCGGCUCGACGGAGGGACGAACGCCACGACGACCGGGAACGACGAGAGGACGACGAUGGGAACCGGCGAGGAGGCGACGACGAAUGCCGGCGGGUUCGGCCGAAGGGGAGGCGAUGCCGAGGACGACGUGGAACACGCCACUGCGAUACCGGAGGAGGAGACGGCGACGUCGGCCGGCGCACGGGCGACGAAUAGCAGUCGGCCAGAGACGGGGAGGUACUGGACGCCGAUGAGGAGGCCACUCCGGCGAGCUUCGGGCGAGGAGGAGGUGAUGCCGGAGAUGAGGACGGCGUCGCAGAGGCGAGGGAGGUGGUGGCGACGUCGGCCGGUGCAAAGGCGAGGCGGCACAGGCGGUUGGAGGCGGAGCAGUGGCGGCAACACCACCGUUGCCGGCGGGGACGCACCUCUAGGGGUUUCCGCGUGAAACGGAGGCGACGCCGGUGGAGGGGAGGCAGCUGCGACGCCGAGGGAGGAGACGGCGCGGCCGACCAGCACGCGGGCGAGGCGGUAGGGGCGGCUGGAGAUGGCCGGCGGCACGGGAGAGUGAGGAGGACGGCGGGGAGAGGUGGUGAAGCCACGGGAGAGCGCGGGAGGGGGUAAAAAUUAGAGAACGGAUCUAGGGGGUUCCAUUUUAUAGGAUAGGGGAGGGAGCCGGGCACGAGAGAGGUGGGAACGGCGGCGGAAUUUGUGGCCGGCGGCCGGGGAAGACGCGUCCGUUCCCGACGAUUGAGGGCGCCAUUCAAGGGGGAAAAUGGGGGAAACCAAAGAGGAUUGAUUAGGGAAUAAAAGCCCCCAAUCAAUUUGGAGUUAAAGCCCUUGAUUCGAGCGGAUUUGGAGGAGGAUGAGGGAUAGAUUUGAACGGGAGAGAUGAGAGGAGACCGACGGCUGGAGGUGGGAGACGGGUCCGACAGGUGGGACCCACCUGCAAGGCGCGGUCAACGCACGUGGGCGCGCGCGUGACAGGCGCGUGCGGCGCGGCCUGGGGAGGCUCGGCUGGGCUGGGACACGGCCCAGGUAGGAGGGGGCAGGGCGGCCUGCGCCGGGCAGACCGGGAGGGGAGGGAGGAUUGGAAGGAGUGGGUCGGGAGGAGGAGGAGAGGCCCGGGAGAGGAGGGAAAGAGAGGGAGGAGAGGGAGACUUUGGGCUAGGCUCGGCCCAAAGGAGGAAGGAGGGAUUAUUUUUAGUUUUUCUUUUUAGUAAACUUUGAUAAUGGCUGUUGUUGUUUAAUAAUUAUUUCCAGUAUUCUGAAAAUUCAAGUAAAAUUUGAGGGCUCCUUUUAGACCAAGGAGAAUUUAACGAAAAUUCUUCGGGCUACAUUCGAAAUUUUCUUGUACGCAUUUUAAUGUUUGCCAAUUUUUUUUCAAAUUUUAAUUAAUUCUAUUAUUCCUUUUAGAGAAUGAUUUUUAUUUCGGGAUGAAUUUAUCAGGACGUGACACUACUCAACGUGAACGGAGUGUGUUAAGAAGGUCAAUCUUUUCAUUUCGAUUAGAACAAAGUCAAAACGCAUGUGGCAAAUAGUAUAUACCCUACAACGUAAUCCUACACCAUAUAAAACAUGCCCAACCUAUAGCGGUUAUAAAUCCACUAUUCAAAAUGUAAGUAUCGAUGGGACAAUUUGUCAUAUCAUUGUUAAUUCAAUCUUACCUUGUCACCGAAACAAUACGCUCUGCGUAACAUGAAGUUAAAAUUUUCAUAUUUGAAGGCCUGGUCACGGAAAUAUCAAUUUAUAAGUUAAAAACAUUAAGCAUUACUGCCUCAAUGAAAUUCAUAUAUGCUUAAUAGUCCACGUUAAAUCCCAUGCAUAUCGGUUUCAUUUGUUUUCACCUAAAGUCACAAAAUAUAGUUGUUGUUCUUAAAGGUCAUAAUAUCUACCCAAGCUACAACACUGCUCCCUAUAGCAUUCCCACCGUCGGUGGUAUCUGGUACUGAAUUGUAGCAGUAUAGUAGUAUAGGAGAGAAAAAUAAAGUCAUGCAUCAUCGUGUGUGACAAGUUGAAACAUCGGGGUGAUACAAAUCUGAAUAAAAAUGUCAUGCAAGUUUAAACAUAAUGCCUCUGUAAGGAUAAAUCCUAGUACAUUGUUGAAAUUAAUUAUCAUCACCGUCUACUAUGGUUGCAUUUACAACUUUACGAUGUGUGCCUACAUUCGGUUCUAAGCUACUAUGGCUACUCGACGUGAACGGAGUGUGUUAAGCAGGUCAAUCUUUUCAUUUCGAUCAGAACAAAGUCAAAACGCAUGUGGCAAAUAGUAUAUACCCUACAAUGUAAUCCUACACCAUAUAAAACAUGCCCAACCUAUAGCGGUUAUAAAUCCACUAUUCAAAAUGUAAGUAUCGAUGGGACCAUUUGCCAUAUCAUUGUUAAUUCAAUCUUACCUUGUCACCGAAACAAGACGCUCCGCGUAACAUGAAGUUAGAAUUUUCAAAUUUGGAGGCUGGGUCGCGGAAAUAUCAAUUUAUAAUUUAAAAACAUUAAGCAUUACUGCCUCAAUAAAAUUCAUAUAUGCUUAAUAGUCCACGUUAAAUCCCAUGCAUAUCGGUUUCAUUUGUUUUAACCUAAAGUCAGAAAAUAUAGCUGCUGGUCUAUCCUGAGAGUGAAUAGGUAGGCAUUUCGUUCUUUACUGGUAUCGUUGAUGACCGCCGUGAUACAAUCGGACCAUGGUUUGAUGCUAGCAAGGGGCUAUUUUCAUUUAUGUUCUGCCUCCUAAAUGUCCUUUCAUUCUUACAUCUAGUACCAUGACAAAAAUCUAGCUAGUUCUAUAGGCAAAUCGUUGCCAAUACGUGCUAGCCGAACUGUUGUGAGAAGCAAUGCCUCCUAAGUCACGAUUUCAUUCCCUUCGUGAUUUUUUCUUUCUAACGUGUUUUUUUAACUCCUCGACAAAAUAAAUGCAAGCUAAUCUUUCAGAUUUUUCUCCAAAGUGGUCAUAAAAUCGAUGACGUUCUUAAAGGCUAUGAUAAGAUUUUUGUCACGGAAUGUCUAAACCGUUGUAGUAUUAGACAUGUCGUCGUAAAGGCACUUUACUACAUAUCUCAUUUGAACGCAAGCAGUUAUUGAUAACUAAUAUAUUUGUCAUAACUCACUUUACACAUACAAAUAUAUGUCUAGAUAUAUCAUUAAAGUUCCACGCGCCCUUGACAUGUAAAGUGCAUUUGUAAAACAAUAGCUUACAAUACAAAACAAACUUAGUUUGAAAAGGACAGCAAUCCAUGUCACACUGAGAUAUAAAGUGAGUGACGAGUCAUAACAUUAUCUAUCUUGCUAACCAUCAAGUAUAUGUGAUGGGCAAUAAAGUUACUUUGACGAUGGUAUGCAGGGACAUCUGUGGAGGCACAUCACGUAACAUCCAAACGACAUGACUCACUCUGAUCCUAAUAGAAUAUCCAACCAAAACAAACACUCUAAAGCAACCGAUAAGGAAUUCAAAGAAAACCCAUCCAUCGCAUCUAUAAAUAGACAAGCACAAUGUAAACCCCCUUCAUCCUUCUCACAACUCAAAUAUUACAACGAAAGCAUAACAACUAGAAUCCCACCACAAUGAAGAUCAUUUUCUUCUUUGCUCUCCUUGCUAUUGCUGCAUGCAGCGCCUCUGCGCAGUUUGAUGCUGUUACUCAAGUUUAUAGGCAAUAUCAGCUGCAGCCGCAUCUCAUGGUGCAGCAACAGAUGCUUAGCCCAUGCGGUGAGUUCAUAAGGCAGUAGUGCAGCACAGUGGCAACCCCCUUCUUCCAAUCACCCGUGUUUCAACUGAGAAACUGCCAAGUCAUGCAGUAGCAGUGCUGCCAACAGCUCAGGAUGAUCGCGCAACAGUCUCACUGCCAGGCCAUUAGCAGUGUUCUGGCGAUUGUGCAGCAGC
This 54160-nucleotide long non-coding RNA is filed under the name Oryza sativa (Asian cultivated rice). RNAcentral's name for it is "long non-coding RNA (OSAT_LNC000132)". Lineage: Eukaryota; Viridiplantae; Streptophyta; Magnoliopsida; Poales; Poaceae. The record is from RNAcentral.